RNAcentral lists this long non-coding RNA (70010 nucleotides) under Malus domestica (apple). The record is from RNAcentral. Lineage: Eukaryota; Viridiplantae; Streptophyta; Magnoliopsida; Rosales; Rosaceae.
UUGAUAAUGGAAAGGAGAUAGCAGUGAAAAGACUAGCCAAGAAUUCUGGCCAAGGAAUUGGAGAGUUUAAGAAUGAAGUUCUGCUGCUUUCAAAGCUCCAACACAGGAACCUUGUGAGGAUCAUGGGUUGCUGCGUUCAAGAUGAAGAGAAGAUGUUGAUCUAUGAAUACUUGCCAAACAAAAGUCUUGACUUUUUCAUUUUCGGUAUGUCUUUCUUUUACUUUUGUUAUUCUUUUUAUACAAGCAAUAUUGUGGAGGGGAAAUCAAGCUCAGGACCUCAGGUGUAGGAUUGAAUGCUCUUAACUCAACUUAGUUACAAGCACUUUUCUUUUCCCUUGUGUAUCUAAAAUUGUCGGUUAGAAACCUUGAACCAAGCAAGAAUACAAUCUAAUUUACUUUGCUUAUUUUGUUCCCAUAUGAAGCAAAAGGGGAGUUCUUGGAUUGGACAAGAUGCUUUGAGAUAAUCUGUGGGAUUGCUAGAGGGAUCUUAUAUCUUCAUCAGGAUUCAAGAUUAAGAAUCAUCCAUAGAGAUCUAAAGGCCAGCAAUGUUCUGUUGGAUUCUGCUAUGAACCCCAAGAUUUCAGAUUUUGGUAUGGCUAGGAUAUUUGGAGCUGAACAAAUUGAAGCAAAUACAAACCGUGUGGUUGGGACAUAGUAAGUUUCAUUCAAAACUGAAAGUACACCUGUUUUUUUUUUUAAGUUUCAUCCCUACGAGUUAUACAAUUAACUUUUGUUGAAUAAUACAGAAAGAAGCUGUGAUAAUUAAUCAAUUUUAUUUUGUUGUUUCAGCGGUUAUAUGUCACCAGAGUACGCAAUGGAAGGACUUUUUUCAGUAAAGUCUGACGUAUAUAGCUUCGGUGUUUUACUACUAGAAAUUGUUACUGGCAGAAAGAACAUCGGCUACCACCACGAUAGUCCUUACUCAAAUUUAGUUGGACAUGUAAGCAUAACAUUAAAACAUUACCAAACUUCUCUCCAUCUGCUUUUAUAACUUGAUGAUUAAUUUGUAAAUGGUUUUUAGGUUUGGGACUUGUGGAAGGAAAAUAGAGCCUUGGAAAUCAUUGAUUCAUCUUUAGGAGAAUCAUACCCUGUCAACAAAGUUCUAAGAUGUAUUCACAUUGCCCUCUUGUGCGUGCAAGAGCAAGCGAAGGAUCGUCCACUCAUGUCAGCAGUGGUUUCCAUGUUGGGUAAUGAUGCUGCAAUUCCUUCACCAAAGCAACCUGGAUUUUUGUUGAAGAGUGGUUAUCAUAGUAGUGGAGACCCAUCAACCAAUACUGAUGGAGCUUGCUCUGUAAAUGACAUGACCUAUACAGAAGCAGAAGGUCGCUAAGGGGAGAACCAGACGUAUAAUCAGACCGACUUAUAUUAUUCAAUUGAGAAUCACAUGAUGAGUGAGAUAAGAAGAGAGGAUAUACCCCGAUUUCACUCAAUAAUUUUCCUUAUAACUAGGGAUCUAAGUUCUAUAUUAAUAUGCAACACUCAUCAUCUGUCUUAUUGUAAAUACACGUUAUAAAAUAUAUGCCCUAUAAUUGGGGAUCUAAGUUCUAUAGCUGUUAUACUCAUCAUCUGUCUUGUUGUAAAUACAAGCUAUAAAUUAUUUGCAACAUUCAGCAUCAGUCCAACCAAGCUUGUGAAAUCCCGUUCCUGGAUUUCACUGUUAUAAUCUACAUGUUUGUAGUAUUGAGAUUUUAUAUUAUUUUUCAAGAAUUUAUAUUAAUUUAUUUGAAUUUAGAUUUCAAUUAAACUAGUUACGAAGAGUGAAGUUUGGAAAGUUAUUAUAUACUUGUUGACCUUUUGAGGUCAUAAGUAACGUUUUCGAAUAAAGCUUGAUCCCACGAAUGCAUAGGCGAAAGGCGUUUGCAAGUCUGGAUUAUAACGGUAUAGUUAAAGACGUUUGAAGUUGUGAUACUAUAAAUUUUAGGAAUUGAUUAUCUCCCACUUUGUGGGUAAGGGCCCAGAUAGAUAUGGGGUUAAGUGGACCAUCAGAAUUGAAAAAAAAAGGGGGGGGGGGGAAGCAACCAAUCAGGAAAGAGGAGGAAAGAAAUGAGAAAGAAAAAGGAAAAAGGAAGGAGGGGAAAAUGCCCCUUUCCCGUCGACCCACCCAACUAGGUUUGACCCGGUUCUAAUUCCGGCGGUUUCCGCUAUUUUUUCCGUCGAACCACCACCAACCAACAACUGCAACCUCUUCUACAACAUCUCAUCUACCAUUCCCACCCAAAAUCAUAGGAAAUUUAGUUGUAGUUUGGUGAAAAACACACCAUGGGUACCGUGGGAAACCUCGUCAUGAUUCAUCAUUUGUGAAACGAUUUCAUUCAAUUACCACCACCAUUAGACUCUCCUUGAACCCAGGAAUAAAGCCCAAACAACCUUGGAGACGUCGGAGCAAGUAUGGAGUUCGUAUUGAAGCACACCUAAUUCUAGGGUUCUGGAUGUUCGUGGGUGAUUUCAGGAGUUUCCAGGCCAAAUUGGCCUUAGCCAUAGGUAUAAAAAUUACUCCCCUCAUUGAGAUCUACAUGCCUGUAAAAUUUGGUAAUUUUUGGAAUUAGUUGAAUUUUCCGACAAGUCGGGGCGGCCGACUGCCAUGUGCGGCGGCGCAUAGGCCGAAGUAACCCCUGACCUUCCUAGGAUAAAUUUGAUACCCCAAUUCCAUAUGUGAAGUCUGAUUGACGAAAUCUCGUCAUAUGGUUAUAGAUUUGAUGGAGACCGCCACUUAGACAUUAUAUGAAUCGAUGAUUAGAUUGUUGGAUCGUCACCAAAAUUUAAUAUGUUAUAGUAUGUAAUAUUUGAGGAUAACAGGAACUUACGGAUUGGGAAUAGAUGUACGGAUCUUCCCGAAUUGGAUUUACAAGUUUGUAAAAUAAAACGUCGACAACCAUUUAAAUUCGUGAUUGGCGGAGAUCCGACCGUUUGAUCAUAAUGAAAUUUUAGUAUGUUAUUCUAGAAGCAUAAUGUGGACUUUGGGAAGUUAUGGAUCAGAAAUCUAAUGUGCGGAUCUUUAGGAUCGAAUUACGUAGAGUUGUGGACCCUAUCGUUGACAGAGAGUUGAUUUGUGGUCAACAUGUCUCGAAACGUUCUAAAUAAUAAAAUUAGUACUACGAGACUAAUUGAAGUCUAGUGGGCCUAUAUUGGUUAGAUAGUGACUUGAAUAUAUGAGAUAUGAUUAUUAUCUUGAUUUCUUAUGUUGGUAUCAUUUGUGAAUAUGAUUUGGUCUUAUAAAUAUGAUUUCUAUUGAAAUGUGAUUUUUAUAUAUUUAGCCAUAGGCCUAUGCUUAUUACAUAUGAUUUGGCUUGUGUACUGAUGAUGUUUGUGAUAUAUAUGUGUUUAAUUAUCUUUUUAAUAAUAUGAAUGAUAAUUAUGAUGAAUGUUAUGACAAGUAUGGGAUCUAAUUAUUGCUUGAUAAUUAUUUGGAUAUGAUUGCCAACUGAAUACCUAUUUGAACUUGGCAUUACUACCUAGUAUGUGAUAGGGAUGAAAGUCUGGAGAUGAGUUAGGUACUUUAUUAGAUUUUUUUAGUAGAAAUAGUAAUUAGGGGAAUUCCUUAUGAUGUGCUCCAUAUGACUAGAUGCUGGUUGAUAUGUGGAAUCGAUAGCGUGUAUACGUAUAAUUGGGUAUAAUGUAUGAGGCUAGAUAAGCCUUUUGUGUAGAGUAGGAAAAGAUAUGGUGAAAUGGGGUCGCCCUGUUGAAUCCCACGAGAGGGGAGGAGGUAGCCACAAAGACGACUGUUGAUGACAAAAGAGUACGAUACUGAGCAUACGAAUUCCAUCACCAGAUUGGUCUAAUUCAAUGAGAACCCCAUACGAACUAAAAUACUCUUGAGAUAAUCCCACUCAAUUCUGUCAUAUGCUUUGUUAAUGUCCAAUUUUAAGGAUAAAAACUCUUUUUUUCCUCGAUGGCGCUUCAUGAGGGAAUGGGAGAUUUCUGAAGCCAGAAUCAAAUUGUCUGAUAUCAUUCUUCCCGGAACAAAUGCGUUCUGAGCAGGAGAUAUGAUGUGGUUUAGAAUUCCUUUCAACCUAUUUGCCAUAACUUGGAAGCAAUCUUAAACAGGACGUUACAAAAGCUUAUGGGCCUGUAUUGAGAGAUAUCAUUAGGGUCAUUUACUUUGGGGAUGAGGCAAACAUGGGUGAAUUUUUUUUUUUAGUAACCUGUCCGAUUGGAAAAUGCAUUGGAUGGCGUUCGUCACAUUCGCUCCAACAAUGGCCUAAUAUCGUUAGAAGAAAAAAGGGGACAUUCCAUCGAGCCCCAGCACUGUUGAAGGUUGCAUAUUAAAGAUAGCAUCCCGAACCUCUUCAGCAGAUACAUGCAAAUCCAAUCUGAGAUUCAUCUCCGAAGUCACCCGACGAUCGAUGGUUUGGAGCACCUCCUCACCACCCCCCGUCGGACCAGCUUUAAAUAAGUCUUCAAAAUAGUUUAAGAUCGAGGACUCGAUACCCUUUUCAUCAGAAAUCCAAUUGCCAUUGCUACCAUAUAACCCUUUGAUAAGAUUUUUGGACUUGCGGUUUUUAGCCCGUUUGUGAAAGAAGCGAGUGUUCCUAUCGCCUUGGCUGAGCCAUAGAGAUCGAGAUUGUUGGUGCCAGUAAGUUUCUUCUUGACCCAAUAAGACAUCGAGACACUCCAUUGGAAGCUUCCUUUCAGCUAAGGCCGCCUCUGACAGUGGUUAAGCAAGAAUAAAACCAAGUUUCAAACGUAUUUCGUUUAUAUCCUCAAUACGUCCUUUGAAGACCAUAUGUUGCCACUUAAGAAGGGCAAUCCUGGUGGCCUUAAUUUUGUGGACCACUUGGAUGUGUACCCUGGUUACAGGACGACUUAAUGCCUCCUCUAUAACAUUCUCGCAGUUUUCGUGGGAGGCCCAAAACUUCUUGAAUUAGAAUCCAUGUCGACAUUUCCUCCUGGGAACAAGUUUCCCGUCUAUGAAGAGAAUAAUAGGAACAUGAUCAAGUUUUGUGGGAUCCAUAUGGUGAACUUUGGCAUUACAGAAUAAGAAUCUCCAUAGAGGGAAUGCCAAGACCACCCGGUCCAAACGUUCUUUUAUGCCUCCCGACUGCGUGGUGAUCCAGGUGAAUUAGUUUCCAGAGAAACCAAGGUCCAGGAGAUUGCAAUUAGACACCGCCAACCUGAAGUCGAGAAUCUGCUUGAUAGGCCUAGAUGGGCCGCCCUCAUUCUUGUUAGCGCUGAGAAGCUCAUUGAAGUCCCAUCUCAUAAUUCAGGGAGGGAACUAGCUGAUGCUAAAGAGCGAAGGAGGUUCCAGGUGGUUGCCUUUUCGGUUGUAAUCGGGUUGCCAUAAAAGCUAGUAAAUCUCCAGUGUAGAGGGUCGGUGUUGCAUCCAAUCUCUCAAUUGAUGUGAUUAUCAGAAGCAGAGAGAAUCCUUAAGUCAAUGCUGGAGUGCCAUAGCAAAUAGAGGCCUCACGCACUUCCUCGAGACUUGACACAAAAUGACCUGUCAAAACUUAACUUGAAUUUCAGAGACAAAAUACUAUGACGCGAAGAUUUGGUUUCACACAAGAAAACUAGGAUGGGAUCUUGCUACUUGAUGAUGUCUUGCAGUGCCUGAACUUUCCAGGGGUUCCUAAGCCCCCAGCAGUUCCAGAAUAAGAAUUUCAUGGUUUAUGAUGCGGUUGCACCCUGUUAACCGUCGCCAAUGAUGUCGAAGGUAGGUGAAUGUUCCUGCCCAGCUAGCCCCUAUUCUCAGCCUAUUCCAGCUCUUUAGAAGGGCUAAUAGCGAUGUCGCAAAGAUGAUCAGAAUCUAAAACCUCAUCGUCAUGUGCUGACCUGAGACAGGGGGAUUCAGCAUCCAUACGACUACCAGACCUGGAUUUGGAGCUACGAAGGUUCAGAUUUAAGAGAUAGAGGGGACGACCCUUUUUUAAGUUGAGGGAAAGUCGAGGUUUUUUGGUCAAGGGAGAGACCAAAAUUGACUUCACGCUUUUACCGUUGGAUUGCUCAGCCAGAUGAGAUGUAUGCUUGAGCUCAAGAUUGCUGAUGUGUAAUAAGUUGGUGCCAGGUGGAAAACAACCUUGGGCUAAGAACUUAGAGGGGCUGGUUUGAACAUGAUCUGAGGCUCGUAAAAACUCAUCCACAUCUUUUAAGGCCCAUAGAGGAAGCUUGUUGGGGUCACACUAGUUUUUUUUCCAAGGAAAGCCCAUUAACAGCUAUGGACAUGGUGUCGUUAGAGAAAGGGUUCUGUGAUUAAAAUGUGGCUGCCGAUCAGUACUGAUGAUAAGAGGGGACACGUACUUCUUUCUGAUGCAACAAUUGGAUCGUAGGGGGACAACGAGUUAGCAGUCGCAGUGAUGGCAGGUCUGACGGUCAGAGAAUUAUCGGUGUACUCUGCCAGUCUGGAUUGAUCAAGUUUGGCCUGUCUAGCCAGGAAUACGGUAGUCGGAAUGUCUGAAUCUUCGUCCAGCAGGUCGUAGAAACCAUAAUCGUCGAUUUCCCAUUUGCAUCUCCAAUGGUGCUUAUUAGCCCCAUCUCUGCUAAACAGCCUCGAAAUUGGGAAUAGUAGAAAACUCGCCCUAAACAGACUUUCGAUGCAAAAUGAUUGGUUGAAUCGGCUUUCACCAGACGGCAGAAUGGGAGUCGGACGAGGGCAGCCGCUUGAAUGACCUAGGCGACCAUACUUAUAGUAGAAAAUUCUGAAACCUUCAUAGCGUAGCCGAAUAGUAUAUGAACACAGCUUUGGGCAUGACACCGAGAAGCUGGUGAGCAAUGGUUUCGAGGUAUCAAAAUCGACUCGCAUGCGGAGAAAGCCUCUAAACCCCAUUUCCAGAGGAUCCUCAACCUCUAGAAUUUCCCCCAUCUUAAAACCCAGGCAUCUCACAUUCUUCAAGGUGCAUUAGUUCCUAGGGAUACCGUGCUCCUAGAUCCCAAUAAAUGGCCCUGUUAGGGAUUAUAUCAUCGAGAAAGUGAAAUGACGGCCAUAGUUUCACUGAGAAGGUAUAGUCCCUGAUGAACCAGGGAUUUCCUUCCAAAAGCCUCAUGGCGACAGCUUCUUCCCCAACUGUGAUAACAUACAAGUUUGCUUUUGCACAAAGAACGCGAAUAACCGCCAUCUUGUUCCAAGUAGAGCGAAUAACCUCCUUCACCACAGUCUGGGAAAAUUCAUGGUCAACGAUGAGUGCACAACGAUGAGUCUGCGAAUAACAUACAAGUGCCUUCGCCCAUGAGCGGUAGGUCUCGGGUUCGAGACUUGGGAGCAGCCUCUCCAUAAAUGGGGGUAAGGCUAGCCGACAUUCACCUCUCCCAGACCCUGCGUAAAGCAUUCUUACUAAAAUCACACUCAGUUAUUUUAAAUACUUCUAAACAAGCCCUAAAACACACCAAAAAAUAAAAACAAAACUGCAUAAUAAGAUGAGCAUUUCGGUUAACACGUACACCAAACAAUUGUAUUCAAAUGGCGGCACAUUUCCAGUACUAACAUAAUUUAGUCUAUCCACUUUGGUAACGUAAAGAAGAGGUAAACCAUGAAUUUAAACUUGGAGGCAGAUUGUCUGCCCUUUCUUUCCCAUGCCCUUCUCAUCCCUUUCUAUUUGUGCGGUCAUGGUUAAGCCACGUCAACAUUUUAUAUUCAUAUUGCUUUUUGUUUUAUUAUCUCUAUUAAAAAAUUAAUAUAAAAUAUUGACGUGGCUUAACCGUGAUCCUACAAAUAGAAGAAGAUGAGAAGGAUAUGGGAAAAAAAUGGCAGACAAUCUGCUCUUUUAAACUUUGGUACUUUGGCAGAAGAAAGCAAAAGAGUUAAAUAAAUUAUUGAACCAUGAAGGAGGUUGAGAUUUGUUUUUAUCUACACGAGCAAUUGAAAAGUCAAAAAGCAUGAGCUAACAAAAAUGGGUCGUCAUCACCAAGUUAGUUGGGUGACUUUUUCUUAUUAAUUUUGGAAGAUGGUACUAAAUUCAUAUUUUCUAUCUUGUUGAUCAAAAGGAAAAACUUAUAUGCCUCGGUUGAAAGUACAUUUAAAAUUGUUGAAAACAUUUUUAGUAAAAAUAUUUUUAAAAUCAAUUUUUUGUAAGAAAAAUUUCAAAUAAUUUUAGGCCCAAAAGUAUUUUUUUUACAAGUGUUUUCUAUUAUUUCAAAAAUACUUCCAAACGAGCUCAUAGUUAAUUAUAAACAUAAAUAGUUUUUUAAAAUAAUGUAUGAUCAUUAUCAUCUAUUCAUACAAAACACACAGAGUAAGGUAGCCAACCAAGAUAUACACAGUUGAAUGAUCCAUUUCUUGUGGGAAAGAAUCAUUUUCACACCAUUCUUAGUUCCAUGGUUCGAUUUCAGUCGUUACUCUUUGAUGGAUAUUUACAUAUACAAUCAAACUAUUUAGACACAAAAUUAAUUUACUUGAUAAGAUACUCUCUUAAAUAAGACAUGUAAUGUGUCCAAUUCUUGAUCAAAAUUAGGCUUUUAAUAUUCAAAGGCCGAGUGGCGUCACAAGAUUUAAUUAUGCAUGCAUGUCAUUUUCCUCAUGAAUUUUUCUUUUAACAAGAAAUGAUAGUAAUUUUCUAUUAACGAACGAUAGCAAAUAUUUAGGUUGUCGCAUGGAUACAAUUUCUAGUCACAAGACUCACAAAUAUAUGAUUUGGAGGUAGUUCACACAAACGAGCAAUAAUGCUAAUCCUUUAUUGGAUACCACAAGCGUGUGAACUAGCACAAGCACAAUCAGUACAAAUCUGCCACAAAGACGGCAGGUGCAACAUACUUAAUUAUACCAGUGCACCCAUAAUGUCACUGUCAUAUAAACGAGACCACAUUAAAUUAUCACUAACAAACUAGGCCACAUCAAAACCACCGCUACCAAAGUUUAUAAUCUUAUCAAUUAAAUGUCUUUAUUAAAUCUUUUGACAACAGAAAAGAAAGCGUCAUAAUUAAGAAAUUGAUUUAAUAACAGUGAGAUAUUAACGAGGCAGACCUUGCGUAGUUGCAUUAUAAAUAUGGAAGAAAACAUUCGACGGUAAUCCUAUCGACUAAAAAAAUUAAGCACGGAAUAUCUCAACAAAAAAUAAAAAAAAUAAAAAAAAGCACGGACUGCGUUUUAUUCAACCUAGAAAAUAAUAAACUGUGUUCUUUUGUCAACCGUGAAGUCGUAACCAAGUUAUUAAUCACGCUUGGAUCAGAGGGUUCACAUUUCAUGAUGCUUGUGUUGAUAUCGUUUGUGUUUCCUAAACAAAUUUGGACGGAGAACUUAAGGUCCGUCGAAACACGUUUACUUGGAAUGAUUUGAUCAAAGUUUAGCAGAGCGAGAAAUUUUUUAACUACGUGAUCAGUUAGUCUUACGAUGUUUUAUCUCUAAUAAGUAUAAAAUUUCUUAAAUUGACUUGGACGUUAUAGAAAGAUGAAAGUGAUAUAUUUAUACACUCAUAACUCAAUUUUACUUUACACAGAACUUUGUUAAUUGUUUGUUAUUGAUCUUCUUCGAUUCAUUUGAUUCGAAACUGAAAAUUAAAAGAGGUGUACAAAAAAUAAAAAUAAGUGCAUGAAUAGCACUAUCUUACUUAUAUUACUAGGUCGAGGAUCAUUGUGUCCCAAACUUGAUUAGAGGACUUGUCAAACUUAGCCUUAGUUUAGUACUAAGGUGAUUCUGAAAAAAAGUGGCUAUUAAAAAAAACUGGGAGUUUUUUUAUGUUUGGUAAACAUUCAGCUUUAGUUUUUUUUCACAGUUUUUGGUGAAAAAAACCCAAAAACACAAAGCUGCAAAACCCAGCUUUGAAAAACCAGUUUUUUUUUUACAUCUGUUUUACAUAAAAGUUUAUCAAACACUAUAAUAUUGUUUUUUUUUCAAAAGCACAUUUACAAAAAAGUUUAUCAAACACUCUGCUGCUUUAUUUCACAGCUGCUUAUUCUCAUAGCACAGCAGAAACAAUUUUUUUUUUAAAGUACAACAAUAUCAAACCAGCCCUAAUGUGAGAUUAGUGCUUUUGAAAUAUUUAGUGUAAUCAAAACACAAAGUGGUACUUUACAUGUCAUUAUCUAAUUAAAGAUUUUUUUUUAAUUAUCUCCUUAAUUGAAUAAUAAUAUAUGAUAUUUCACUCAUGUGCCACAUAUCUUGAAAAAUCUGUCGGGCCUUAUUGUAUGAAAGGGGGGGCGUGUAUAAUUGGUCACGUGACAAUAGGGGAAGAAACACGUGUAUUCUGAGUCGGCAAAUGUUUAUAGCUGGCAAUGUUGACUCUAAUAGGGGCAUUUAAGUAAAUUCCAUAGCAGAAGUAUAGUCGCGAAUCGCGAUUGAUUCCAUGCUUCAACUGUAGGGUAACUGUUGAGGUUAGAAACCAAAGGAAAAAAACAAAGUUACGAAAACACCCCCCCUGAAGUUUUAGCCAAAGACGGGACCUUUUUGUGUCGUUAAGUUGAAAAGCAGAUAAAUGAUGACUUUCUCCAAUAAAUACAGAGAUGCUAACUGGAUAGAUAAUUUCAGUGACCAAGCAAUUAACUUGGAUAGAGUUUGCACAAAAACACAAGAAGAGUAAAAUCCUUAAAGCAAAUAUGUCACAAAGUAUUAUAUACGCAACAAAUCCGAAUCGAUGUUUAGGGCAUCUAUACUCUAAUGAGAAAAUAAAAAUUUGUGAUAGAAAAAUCUUAUUUAUGUUUCUGAUAGAUGUAAAUGAAGCUAUACUCCAAUGAGAAUAAUGGAAAUUUGAGAUCCCAUUUAAUUUUGUCUCUUUGAUUAGCGGGACUCAUCACCAAAAUAUGUAAAAAAAGAAAUAAAUUUAAGUUUAUAUUUACAUUUUUCGACGAAGAUGAUAAUUUAUAUUUCACCAUUGGAUAAUUUUCCAGCAAAGAAAAAAAUUAUAAAAUGUCCAUUUCAAAGUACUUUUGAGAGAUGCCCUUGAGAAGAAAACUUACUUACCGUUAUAAUUGUUUAGUAAUCUGAAAUAAUUGUAUACCGUUAUGCAUUUUAGAAUCCAAUUAUGUAAAUAAUCAUUCAAUAUUAUGUGCUAAAAUCUAGUUAUGUAAAGAUAUGUGAUUAACUCGAGAUACAAUAGUUAUAACAUUCCAAAUUGCGAAUAAUCUGGUAGUUCUCGAAACAAAGAAAGAAAAAAGAAAAUAAAAACUAACGAAAAGUUCUCAAAAACUUUAGUUUUUAAUCAAAAGGACAAUAUAAAUUGUAAGUGAAUAGUACCAGAAGUGACUUUUCAAGGUAAAAAAUGUCAUUCACGUUAAAAGUGAACAGUACUAGGAGUGUUUGAUUAAGAUUCCAAAAAAAAAAACACUUUUGAAAACAAAAUGUGAGAAGGGUGUAAUAGUAAUUUCAUCAGGUGUAUUACAAUUGUUAUUUUUCUUUUUUGGCAUGAAAAUGCGUAUUAAUGUGUUGUGAGUGUAGGAUUUGGUGGUGAAAGUCUCUCUCUCUCUCUCUCUCUCUCUCUCUCUCUCUCUUCGCUCGAAGUCUUGAAGUCUUGAAUUCUCAAAGACACUCCACCAGUUGAGCACCCAAAAACCUCGUAAACCCUUUUUCUUCCAUUUCAUUUCUUUACCGAGUGACGCGAGCGAGUUAAGAAAUGGCGACUCAGUUACCGGACGAUUUCAAGUGCCCAAUUUCCCUCGAAAUAAUGUCCGACCCGGUUAUACUCUCCUUACGUCACACCUUAGAUAGGCACUCCAUCUAAUCUAAGUGUUGGACAAAAGAAUUUUUCCUGCACGAAAGUAUAUGCUCUUUUGUUUUAUUAGAAAUUGAAUUAGUUAAUUACUUGAAAUAUAGUUUUUUUAUUUUAUUUUAUAAUAUUUUCCGAGUUUCUGGAGGCAUCGACAAAGUCAAAUAUCCCUAACGGGGAUGUGGAUACCUCAUCGUUUGGCCAUAACCCAUAAGCACCUGACUUUUCCUGCAAUUAUGUUUAAGCACAUUGCACUCUAUCUUUAAAAUAAUAACAAUAAUAAUACAUCACUGUAUAUUUUUAAGUUAAGGGUGGAGCUAUCCACCUACCUUUUUUUUAUCUUUGACGUAUAUUUCUUAAUUUUUAAUCGUCGGAUUAUAUGAAUUAAAAAUGAUGAAAAUACAUAAGGUAAUAAAAGAUGUGUAAAAAGUAAAAAUAAAAAAUGUGUGGAUAGCAAAUUAACAACAUCCUAAAUUAAUAUCAACCUUACUUAGUUAUUACACCCAAUAAUCAAGUAUAGGAUGGAUUUGUGCUAGAAUUCUUGAUAUUGUCAAGGUCAAGCCAUGUAUUUGGAUCAAUAUGUUUUCAAUCUAGAAAAAAAUUAUGUUGAAAAUGAAAAUUUUGAGUGAAAUAUAUUGAUUUUUCCUAUAGUAUAAAUACGUGUUAAGUACGAUGACCUAUGAAUGACAUAUGACUUACAUUAUGAGGAUUGUAUUUCCACAUGAGUGUGUUAGGUAUCUAUUUAUAUAUACAUAUAUUUAAUAUUUCUAAUAAUACAAAUCAAAAAAAUUAUAUAUAUACAUAUAUUAAAUAAAAACAUAACUGCUCCAACAUGUAUGCCUGGAAGUUGCGGGUAAGUUCACGUUGCAUCGACUGGAAAUCGAGGGCGCGUUUGCCGUUGCAUCGACAACUGGAAGUCAAGCGUAUGCCCUUAAAUUAGCGUUACUGAAACUCAAUCAAAGAAAAAGAAAAUCCAACCUUUCCGGCUUUUUGUUUCUGCAUGUCGAAAGAAGCAGCCAUUUUAGCACUUAAACUCCUCCAUGAGAAAGCUAACAAUGAAUUCUACUAAAUUCUUUUUUGUCAGUACUGUAUUGUUCCUCUUCCUUGUGAUUCUUCCCUCUUCCAUUUCGGUUACCCUAGACGCCAUUACACCAAACCAACCCCUAAGAGAGGGCGACGUUCUUCUCUCCACCACUGAAUUCUUUGCACUAGGGUUUUUUAAGCCAGGCAAUUCUCAUAACCGUUACAUCGGAGUUUGGUACAACAAAAUUCCAAUCAAAACCAUUGUCUGGAUUGCAAACAGAGAAAACCCCAUAGUUCCUACUGCUGGAACUGGACUUCUAGCCAUUCAUGCAGAUCAUGGUGGCCUUGUUAUGUAUGGGGAGGACCAAAAUACCCCUUUCUGGUCCACUAAUCUCACCGUCUCUUCUCCAAACAAUUCCGUGAUAGCCAAGCUUUGGGAUACGGGAAAUCUUGUUGUAGUUGAAAUUAAUGGCGGUAGUAGUGAAAAGGUGUUGUGGCAAGGUUUUGAUUAUCCCACAAAUACGAUGCUUCCUUUUAUGAAACUUGGGCUGGACAGGCGAUCCGGGUUGAACUGGUUCCUCACAUCUUGGAAGUCCCAAGAUGACCCGGGAAUGGGCAACUGCUCGUACCGGAUAGAGACAAGUGAGAGUCCACAGGGGUUCUUAUACAUGGGUCAGACUCCAUUGUGGCGGACUGGACCUUGGAUCGGUGAAAGAUGGUCCGGGGUGCCUCAAAUUAAAAAAACUUUCUACUCCAACGUUACUUUUGUGAACACUCAAGAUGAGGUAUCCAUCAUGGAUGGUACUGUUUAUGAAUCAAUCUUCUUUAAAAUGGUGAUCAAUGAAUCAGGAAACAUUGAACGGUCCGCAUGGCAUGAUAAUAAAUGGGUCCCGUAUUGGUCGCCGGAUCGGCAGUGUGAUUUUUACGGGAAGUGUGGUCCGAAUAGCAUUUGUUACCCAAACCCAAACUUUGCGGAUAAAUUUGAGUGCAAAUGCCUACCUGGAUUCGAACCCAAGUUGCAACAUGAGUGGUAUUUGGGAGAUUGGUCAGGCGGGUGCGUGAGGCAAAAAGGAUCAUCCGUUUGCCAAAACGGGGAAGGGUUCUUGAAGUUGGAAAGUGUGAAGGUGCCGGACACUUCUACGGCACGUGUGAACAUGAGUAGGAGUGGGGAAGCAUGUAAAGAAGAAUGCCUGAGAAAUUGUUCUUGCACGGCAUACGCAAAUGCAGAUGAAAGGCAGGGAGGGAGUGGCUGUAUAACAUGGCAUGGCGACUUGAUUGACACGAGGACCUUUUUGUAUACGGGUCAAGAUUUGUAUGUGCGAGUUGAUGCAAAUGUUUCAGGUAUAUUUCCAUUAUCAAUUUAUCUUCUUUCUUCUCUUUUCCUUAUCAAUAAUUCCUCUUAUAACGCCGAGGUUCCAUGAAAAAAAAGAUCUUCUUUCUUUAUGUCAUUAACAAAUUUGAGGAAUUAUUAUUUAGUUUGGUAGUUGUACGUUUGUUAUCAUUCUAAAAAAAAUCAUUUGGCACUGGUCUCUUGCCAAAUAAUAAAAGUGAAAUUGUUUCGUCAAGAGUGUAAGAUGACUUUUUUAGAGUACUAAUUUUUUUUAUAAAAAAUUCAGAAAUAUCUAUAAAUUAAUACUAAAAAUUUAGUUCUUAUGUUCAUUGGAGCUUUUUACAGGGUUUUUUUUUUCCCGAAUUUUUACAAGGUUUUUUAAACAUGGAAAUAAAUGCGUGUAUAUCUGCAGCUCAAUACGCAAAGAAGUCAAACAGUUCUUUUGGCAAGAAGAGGAAGCUGGAAGUUUCAGUAGCAUGUGGUCUAUUGUUCUUCCUUUUGUUUUCCCUUGCAUGUUGGUUGGUAAAGAGGAAGAGAAAAGGUAAACAAAUUUCCUUUUACUAGGUUGCCCUCUAAUCAUUCACAAUUAUGUAACUGGAUAUUGGUUUUAAUUAUUUAAGAACACAAUAUUAUUUAUUUAUGUACUUUUAUCACAGGUAAGAGAAGUCAGGAUAAACUUUUCAAUGUGACCAUAGCAUCAACCUCCUGGGAAGAUUCUUCUGCUAGAACAAAUAUUGAUGAAAGUGGAAUAAACUCUGAAUUACCAUUCUUUGAACUAAGUACCAUAGUUAAAGCCACACAUAAUUUCGCUUCCAACAACAAGCUUGGAACAGGUGGUUUCGGCUCCGUUUAUAAGGUGCGUAGUUGCCCUGAGAUAAUGUCUCAAAUCAUAAAUCAGACUUUGAAUAGACAUUUUUUAGAUUUAUUUUUUAGCCAUCUGCACUCCAAAUCAAUUAUUUUAUUAUUUUUUCCUCUACUCACCCUUGUAGUUAGGCCUGGCAAACGGGUCGUGUCUGUCGUGUUCUUGUCGUUUUCGUGUAGCACCUGUUAUCUUAACGGGUCGUGUUGUGUCAUACAUGUUAUCUUAACAGGUCCUUAACAAGUCGGGUCGGGUAAAGUGACCCGACCCGUUAAGAAAAAUAUAUUUUUUUUCUUAAAUUUGCACAUACCACACUUUGCCACAUAAAUAUUACUUCAAAACAUUAAAACACAUAAUUUAAUAUAUAUAUAUAUAAUUAUUUUAGUUUUUAGGGGUAUAAAAUUGUUAAAUUAAUAUAUAUAUAUAUAUAUAUAUACAUAUAAUUAUUAUAGUUUAUUCAUACUUUCAUUAAGUAUAACAUAAGAUUUUGUGGUAUCCACUAAUGUAAUUUUUUAAAUUGAAGAUCGAAUUCAUUCAUUGUAUUCAUAUAGAGUCAAGGAGUGUAACUGUAAAAAAUCAUCAAAAUCGGAGUUAAAAUAACCGUUAAAUAGUGAUUUUUCGUUUUAUAAUCGUCGAAAAGUUUUGUCUCGUUACUUGAUCUCUGAAUGUUUGUUCUUUGCAAUUUUUGGCGUAUGCGAUCUCGAAGUAUAUACAAACAUGUAUGACAGUUGGAUUGUUGAAACUAGUUUCGUAUAAUGCGUAUCCUAUCAAAACAAUAGAUUCACUAACACUUAGUUUAUUCUUACUUUCAUUAAGUAUAACAUAAGAUUUUGUGGUAUCCACUAGUAUAAAUAUUUUAAAUUGAAGAUUGAAUUCAUUCAUUAUAUUCAUAUAGGGUCAAGGAGUGUAGCUGUAAAAAAUCAUCAAAAUCGGAGUUAAAAUAACCGUUAAAUCGUGAUUUUUCUUUUUAUAACCGUUGAAAGGUUUUGUCCCAUUACUUGAUCUCUAUAUGUUUGUUUUUUGUAAUUUUUGGUGUAUACGAUCUCGAAGUAUAUACAAAUAUGUUUGACGGUUGGAUCGUUGAAACUAGUUUCGUAGAAUGCAUAUCCCAUCAAAACAAUAGAUUCACUAACACUUAAGAGUUUAUUCAUACUUUCAUUAAGUAUAACAUAAGAUUUUGUGGUAUCCACUAGUGUAAAUAUUUUAAAUUGAAGAUCAAAUUCAUUCAUUGUAUUCAUAUAGGGUCAAGGAGUGUAGCUGUAAAAAAUCAUCAAAAAUGUGAUUUUUCUUUUUAUAACCGUUGAAAGGUUUUGUCCCGUUACUUGAUCUUUAUAUGUUUGUUUUUUGCAAUUUUUGGCAUAUGCGAUCUCGAAGUAUAUACAAACAAGUUUGACGGUUGGAUCGUUGAAACUAGUUUUGUAGAAUGUGUAUCCCAUCAAAACAAUAGAUUCACUAACACUUAAGAGUUUAUUCAUACUUUCAUUAAAUAUAACAUAAGAUUUUGUGGUAUCCACUAGUGUAAAUAUUUUAAAUUGAAGAUCGAAUUCAUUCAUUGUAUUCAUAUAGGGUCAAGGAGUGUAGCUGUAAAAAAAUCAUCAAAAUCGGAGUUAAAAUAACCGUUAAAUAAUGAUUUUUCGUUUUAUAACUGUUGAAAAGUUUUGUUCUGUUACUUAAUCUCUGAAUGUUUGUUUUUUGCAAUUUUUGGCGUAUGCGAUCUUGAAGUAUAUACAAACAUGUUUGACGGUUUGAUCGUUGAAACUAGUUUCGUAGGAUGCGUAUCCCUUCAAAACAAUAGAUUCACUAACACUUAAGAGUUUAUUCAUACUUUCAUUAAGUAUAACAUAAGAUUUUGUGGUAUCCACUAUUGUAAAUAUUUUAAAUUGAAGAUCGAAUUCAUUCAUUAUAUUCAUAUAGGGUCAAGGAGUGUAGCUGUAAAAAAUCAUCAAAAUCGGAAUUAAAAUAACCGUUAAAUUGUGAUUUUUAGUUUUAUAACUAUCGAAAAGUUUUGUUCAGUUACUUGAUAUCUGAAUGUUUGUUUUUUGCGAUUUUUUAAUGGUGCGAUCUAGAAGCAUAUACAAAUAAGUUUGACGGUUGGAUCGUUGAAAUUAGUUUUGUAUAAUUCAUAUCCCAUCAAGUUCAAUGGUAUAUAUAUAUAUAUAUAUAUAUAUAUAUAUAUAUAUAUUAAGUAGAUUUAAUUCUAUUUAUUUUGUACGUAUAAUUAUUAUAGUUUUUUGGGGUAUAAAAUUUAAUUUAAAAUUAUAUAUAUAUAUAAUUAUUAUAGUUAAUAUUUUGGGGGUAUAAUUAUUAUAGGCUUUUUAUAUUAGCACCCCACAAAAUGUUGAAUGCACCCCAUAUUAAAAUUUAAUAUUAAAUGACUUAUUUACUCCACUAUGCAAUGACAAUUUUGACCUUAUUAGGUUUUAAAAAAAAUAAAAAUUUAUAAAUACACCUCAAAUCACUUUUAGCAUAUUAUUUAUUUUCUCAACUAUCAAAACCCUUUCAUCUUCCAUUGUUGAAUAAAACUCUAACCAAUGAAACUACAAACAUGUUGAUUGAGAAAAAUUGUUUUUGACGAAUGGAAUACAAAAUCGAUGUUUCUGAAGCUUUACAUGAGAUAAGACUUCACAUUUUUCAUUGUUUUAGUGAUUUCGAUGACAUCAAUAAUUAUUUAAUCUUGCGUUUGCCGCAUUAUUUAAACUUCUAUAUAUUCAUAUUCAUCUUUUAGGGUUCAUAUUAAUCUUGCGAACCUAGUAACAUGAGUCGUAUUAGUGCUAGAGUCAUAUACUACUUUUACAAAUUGACGAUAGCCAUUCUCCACAUGAACUCCUACUCUCAAUCUUUAGCUGUUUGAUUGACGUACAUUUCUCAUUGUGAGUUUUUCUUUCUUUUUUCUUCUUCUUUUCUUGUCACUGGGAGAUGAUCAGUGGAAAAUGAGGAGAGACAUGGCCUAUAUUUAAAGAAAUCUGAGACCGAUUCAGUUUUGAUUUAUUAAUUAACUUCUACACCUGGAUCAUUAGCAGAGAGAGGGUCUUUAUUUAUUUUGUUCAAGACUAAGUCUAAAGACUUGUGAAAUAUAUAUAGAAGCAUUCUUUGUUAGCAGUAACGAGAGAGUCUUUUUUUUUUCUUUUUUUUUACUCGAAAAGACUCAGCACCACGGGUCAUUUUUAAGGCUUUUUAGAAGUUGAAUAAGAUGAUUUCAAACUAUACUAAGAUGAUUUCAAAUCAUCAUUUUGAAAUCAUUCGGUAAACUAAACGUUCAGAUGAUUUGAAAUAUUUUGACAAAUUAAACGUUCAAAUGGUUAGAUUCAAUCCCUGAAAAUUAAAAAUGAGUGUUAUAAGAUUUGAGAAAUGUGGGGUGUAAAGAAAAUGUGGGGUGUAUGUACAAAAUAUAAGAUGUAUAUUGAGAAUGUGGGGUGUGGGGGUAUUAUGGGAAAGUAUGUGGGGUGUAUUUAGAUAAUUUUUAAGUGAAAAAGCAAAUAUGGGGUGUAUUAAGUAUGUGGGGUUUAUUCAACAAUUUGUGGGGUGUUAAUAUAAUUAGCCUUAUUAUAGUGUAUAUAAUUAUUAUAAUUAUUAUAGUUAAUUUAAUAUAUAUAUAUAAUUAUAGUAUUUUUUAGGGUUAUAAAAUUAUUAAAUUAAUAUUCUGCUUAUCGUGUAUCGUGUUACCCACGUAUAUACCCGAACCAACCAGUUAUCUUAACAGGUGAUUAUCGGGUUACCCGAUAACGACCCGAUUCGUUAUCGUGUCGACCCGAACACCUGUUAAUUUCGUGUUGUGUUGUGUCGAGUUAUUGGGUCGUGUCAGGAAUUGCCAGGCCUACUUGUAGUUUAAACAAAAGAACAUAAUGAAUAAAUCUUGCAGAGAAAGAAAUAGAAUCAAGAAGAGAGAGGGAGCAAGAUUUAUAGAGAGAGAGAGAGAAAGAGAAUCAAGAAGAGAGAGGGAGCAAGAUUUAUAGAGAGAGAGAGAGAGAGAGAGAGAGAGAGAUUUUAGACAGAAAAAGUGAAUCUUUGUUAAUGGUUUCAGAAAAAAUACAAGGUAGUGAUCCAUAAGGAUAUAUAUCCAAACUAUAUUGCUUACAAGCUAAGCUAACAUUUAGCUCACAGGUUAUUGACACUUGCAAACAAUAUUACAGUUAACAAAAAUCAAGAGACCCGUCCAAUAAAGACUGGAAAGGCUGACUCAAAAAUAUAUUUCAUUAAAAUUCAUACCCAAUCAAUAAUCGAUAAGUGAUGGGAACUAUCUUGUUUCGACUUUUCACAAUUAUCCCACACGGUGAUGCGGGUUUUGAAAUUGUAUAAAACACAUAGAAAGUUUUAAAUCUAUAUAUGAUAAGCCAUACUACUUAUAUACAUGUGGAAAUCUAUUCACAAACCUAUUCCUAAGCCAUACUAAUUAUAUAUAAGUGAUGGUUGCAUGGUAUUGAUCUUCUACACAAAAAAAGCAAACGUUUUCCACCCUAGGAAAUUGUUAAGCACCUAUCAAACUAAUUAAUUGGAAACAGUAUGGUGCUUCCCAAUCUAAAGAGUCAAUGACACUAAAGCAGCAGAUUAGUGAAUAGAUUAGCGAAUAGUUAAUUAUGAUUUGUUUUGGGUCCAAAGAAACCUUGUUAGGUGAUGGUGAAUCAAUAUGAAAGUAAACAAUGCCGAUUUCAAAAUGGAUACUAAAGAGCUAUUCAUCCGCAUAAGUAAAUACAUACCAACAGAAAAGUGGGCUAAUCCAACCAAUCUCACCAAUGGACAUUGUCACCCGAGCAAUUCGGACUAAAUCUUUGAUGAAACAAAAAAAUGCUGAGGAAAAUGAUCAUUACCCAAAAUUCCAUUCUGAACAAAUAUAUGGACCAAUCUGAAGUAAGACGAAGAAUUAUGACAUGAAAAACUUAAUAAAACCCAAUUUGAACGAAGAACUCAAUCUGAAGCAGAUUUUCACAUGCAAUAGUUCUAGAAGAUGCCUAAGAUGACAAGGAGUCAUUUGAGACCAUCAACUCAACCCCAUUCGAACGCAAUCCCAAAAUCAAAAAGGACAAAAUGGGCAAACAAAAUCAAAGCAUUUUUAUGUACAUGCAUUGAGUUUUACUCCUUUGUUAAUGUAUAAAUGCAAUUUCAAGGGGAGGAUAUAUAUAUAGAGCUACGAUUAUGUUGAUAAUUUUCUUGAAAGGUAAGUGCACUAUAAGUUGAAUUUGGAUUAUAAAUUCAGGGUGUGCUUGAUAAUGGAAAGGAGAUAGCAGUGAAAAGACUAGCCAAGAAUUCUGGCCAAGGAAUUGGAGAGUUUAAGAAUGAAGUUGUGUUGCUUUCAAAGCUCCAACACAGGAACCUUGUGAGGAUCAUGGGUUGCUGCGUUCAAGAUGAAGAGAAGAUGCUGAUCUAUGAAUACUUGGCAAACAAAAGUCUUGACUUUUUCAUUUUCGGUAUGUCUUUCUUUUACUUUUGUUCUUCUUUUUAUACAAGCAAUAUUGUGGAGGGGAAAUCGAGCUCAGGACCUCGGGUGCAGGAUUGAAUGCUCUAAACUCAACUCGGUUACAAGCACCUUUCUUUUCACUUGUGUAUCUAAAAUUGUCGGUUAAAAACCUUGAACCAAGCAAGAAUACAAUCUAAUUUACUUUGCUUACUUUUUUCCCAUACGAAGCAAAAGAGGCGUUCUUGGAUUGGACAAGACGCCUUGAGAUAAUAUGUGGGAUUGCUAGAGGGAUUUUAUAUCUUCAUCAGGAUUCAAGAUUAAGAAUCAUCCAUAGAGAUCUAAAGGCCAGCAAUGUUUUGUUGGAUUCUGCUAUGAACCCCAAGAUUUCAGAUUUUGGUAUGGCUAGGAUAUUUGGAGCUGAACAAAUUGAAGCAAAUACAAACCGUGUGGUUGGGACAUAGUAAGUUUCAUUCAAGACUAAAAGUACACCUGUUUUUUACAAUUUUCAUCCCUAUUUCACAAGGCCACAAACGUGAGUACAACUUUUGUUGAAUACUACAGAAAGAAGCUGUGAUACUUAAUCAAUUUUAUUUUGUUGCUUCAGCGGUUAUAUGUCACCAGAGUACGCAAUGGAAGGAUUUUUUUCAGUAAAGUCUGACGUAUAUAGCUUUGGCGUUUUACUACUAGAAAUUGUUACUGGCAGAAAGAACACUAGCUACUACCACGAUAGUUCUUACUCAAAUUUAGUUGGACAUGUAAGCAUAACAUUAAGACGUACCAAACUUCUCUCCGUCUGCUUUUAUAACUUGAUGAUUAAUUUGUAAAUGGUUUUUAGGUUUGGGACUUAUGGAAGGAAAGUAGAGCCUUGGAAAUCAUUGAUUCAUCGCUGGGAGAAUCAUACCAUGUCAAUGAAGUUCUAAGGUGUAUUCACAUUGCCCUCUUGUGCGUGCAAGAGCAAGCGAAGGAUCGUCCACUCAUGUCAGCAGUGGUUUCCAUGUUGGGUAAUGAUGCAGCAAUUCCUUCACCAAAGCAACCUGGAUUUUUGUUGAAGAGUGGGGACCCAUCAGCCAAUACAAAAGGAGCUUCCUCUAUAAAUGACAUGACCCAUACAGAAGUAGAAGGUCGCUAAGGGGAGAACUAGACGAAUACUCGGAAAUACCAUCAUUGAAUUUAGAGUACGAUCACGUGAUAAGUGAGAUAAGAAUAGAUGAUAUACUCCGAUUUCACUCAAUAAUUUGCCUUUUAAUUAGGGAUCUAAGUUCUAUAUCUACAACACUCAUCAUCUCUCUUGUUGUAAAUACAUGCUAUAAAUUGUGUGCCUUAUAACUAGGGAUCUAAGUUCUAUAUUUGCAAUACUCAUCAUCUGUCUUGUUGUAAAUACAAAAUAUAAAUUAAUUGCAACACUCGUCAUCAGUUCGACGAGGCUACAUAAAAGUACUUUCUAACCGCCAUAGACAUUUAGGAGGGCUGAGAACUUUGUGGCUCAAGGUUUUAGAAGCAGGCAUACUCAGACACUAAUCAAGCCACGUGUCAACUAACAGUCAAGACUCAAAAACAAAAGUCUAGAGCGGGACAUGAAGCUGGUCUGGCCUGCUCGAAGUGACAUGACUAAUUAAUCAAGGCCUAGCGGGACGCUCGGCACACAUUGGACAUUUGGAUGUUAUGAUAAUUUAGUGUUAGAAAUGAUAAUUUAGAGCUUGAAUAUUGUUCACUAUCACAUGUGCUAGUAUAUGCUUCAAAAAAUUUUAGAGGCAAAAUAUUGUUAAAAAUUAUGAUGCUCUUAUUUGUACGGUGAUUUAUACAAAACACUGUAUUAAUGGUGAUAUUUACAUAAAACUAUAUCAUAGUGAUUAGCGAAUAGUGAUUUCUACAUAAAAUUAUAUUAAAAAUAUUUGAGAUGGUAGUCAAAUCUUAUGCAUAAACUCUGUUGUGAUAGUGCAAAAGUUUUUACAGAUUAGAAAUAGUCCAAAAUUGUUUGAGUGCGGUAUCGGGCUCGAAUUUUUUAACCUCACUCUUGCUCAUCUCCCAUAAGAAUCAAGUCAAGCUUACCCGCAAGCUCGAAAAAAUUAAAUAAGCCAAAUUUAAACAUAAUAGUAUUCAGUUCGGCUUGACUAGUUUGCAGUCCUACAUUUAUUUAAAACACCCCUCUGAAUUAUUACCCAAAGACGGGACCUUUUUGUAUCUUUAAGUUGAAAAGCUGAGUGAAUUAUGACUUUCUCCAAUAAAUCCAGAGAUGAUAAUUGGAUAGAUAAUUCCACUGACCAAUCAAUUAACUGUUGGAAAAUAUUAGUAUUUUGGUUUAUUUGAAUGUUUGGUUUUAUGGGUUUAGCCCGUUAGAAUUAGGUUUGUUAGAGAUUAGGGUUAAUUUAUUAUAAAUAGGGUGCUUUGUUAUUCAUUAGAGAACAAGUUAGCCACAAUGUAGUCUCUUAGGGUUUUGUAGCCGUUUCGGCAUUCUCGUUUGUUUAAUAAUAUUCUUAUUAUUUGUUAGUCUUGUUCGUUGCGCACUCUGAUAUUCAACUUGGUAUCAGAGCGGGUUCGAUCCUUAGGGUUCAACCCGUUCUCAUUGGUAUCAAUUUGUUUGCCUUUGUCGUCGUUCGUUUUAGAUUUGUUAGUUGGUAUUGAUUGUUUGCAAGGAAAAGAAAAAUGAAAGGAAAAAAAAAAGUUUUGCUUGCAGAGGAGAAGAUUCCCCAGCAAAUAAAAAAAUGGAACUUUAACGAAAAGCACCCGGUACUGUUCACUUUAACGAAAAACCACAUUUUUACACUAAAAAGUCAAUCCUGGUACUAUUCACUUUACCCUUUAUUUUGUCCUUAUCAUUAAAACUCAAAGUUUUCAAGCCCUUUUCAUUAGUUUUCCUAUAAAAAAAAGGGGACGAAGGAGAAAAGAAGAAAAAGAAGGAAAAAAAAGAGGAACCACGGAAAGGAAGAAGAAGGAAGAAAAAAAUGGGAAAAAAAAAGGAAGGAAAAAAAUAUGGUUGUUUUGUGGUCCGUGUAUUCUUGCAUUGGGCAUGGUAACUUGAACUUGGAAUGGAAAUUUGGCAUCGACAUUGGUAUCGGCAUCGGCAUUGGUAUUGGCAUCAGCAUCGGAAUCGGCAUUGGAAUCGGCAUUGGAAUCGGCAUCGGCAUCAGCAUUGGUAUUGGCAUCGGCAUCAGCAUUGGAAUUUGAAGGCUUGCAUCCACAUCUGCUUGUUGGCAAACUCAUGUCGUCUACCGCCAUGAGUUUGAUAGGGGGUGUUGGAAAAUAUUAGUAUUUUGGUUUAUUUGAAUGUUUGGUUUUAUGGGCUUAGCCCGUUAGAAUUAGGUUUUGUUAGAGAUUAGGGUUAGUUUAUUAUAAAUAGGGUGCUUUGUUAUUCAUUAGAGAACAAGUUAGCCACAAUGUAGUCCCUUAGGGUUUUGUAACCGUUUCGACAUUCUCGUUUGUUUAAUAAUAUUCUUAUUAUUUGUUAGUCUUGUUCGUUGCGCACUCUGAUAUUUAACUUUAACUUGGAUAGAGUUUGCACAAAAACACAAGAAGAUUAAAACCCUUAAUGCAAAUAUGUCACAAAAUACUAUAUACGUGACAAAUCCGAAUCGGUGUUUAGGGGCAUCUCUAAUGAGAAAAUACAAAAUUUGAGAGGAAAAAUCAUAUUUACGUUUCUGAUCGAUGUAAAUGAAGCUAUACUCCAAUGAGAAUGAUGAAAAUUUGAGAUCCCAUUUAAUUUUGUCUCCUUGAUUAGUGGGACUCACCACCAAAAGAUGUAAAAAAGAAUAUAAAUUUAAGUUUUUAUUUACAUCCUUCAACGAAGAUGAAUAAUUUAUAUUUCGCCAUUGGAUAAUUUUUCAGCAAAGAAAAAAAUAUAAAAUGUCCAUUUCAAAGUACUUUGAGAGAUGCCCUUGAGAAGAAAAGCUUACUUACCGUUAUAAUUGUUUAGUAAUCUGAAAUAAUUAUUUACCGCUAUGCAUUUUAGAAUCUAUUGUGUAAAUAAUUAUUCAAUGUUAUGUGCUAAAAUCCAGUUAUGUAAAGAUAUGUGAUUAACUCGAGAUAGAGUAGUUAUAACAUUCCAAAUUUCGAAUAAUCUGGUAGUUCUCGAAACAAAGAAAGAAUGAAGAAAAAAAACCUCUGAAAACAAAAUGUGAAAAGGUGUAAUAGUAAUUUCAUCACUGUAUUACAAUUGUUAUUUUUCUUUUUUGGGCGUAUUAAUGUGUUGUGAGUGUAUGAUUUGGUGGUGAAAGUCUCUGUCUGUCUCUGUCUGUCUCUGUCUGUCUCUCUCUCUCUCUCUCUCUCUCUCUUCGCUCGAAGUCUCAAAAACACACUCCACCAGUAGCACCCGAAAACCUCGUAAACCUUUUUCUUCCAUUUCAUUUCUUUACCGAGUGACACGAGCGAGCGAGUUGAGAAAUGGCGACUCGGUUCCCGGACGAUUUCAAGUGCCCAACUUCCCUCGAAAUAAUGUCGGACCCGGUUAUACUCUCCUCGGGUCACACCUUUGAUCGGGCCUCCAUCCAACGCUGGCUCGACGCCGGUCACACCCGGUUACAAAAGGGUUGAUUGCUAUUGCACUUGUUCAGUUCGUUCUUCUGAUCCGGUGCUGCGCUUCAAUCGAUAGUAUAACAACUGAUCAAGCGAUCAGGGAUGGCGAAGUUCUAUUCUCUAGUGGAGAAGUGUUUGAGCUUGGUUGAUCUUCAGCCCCAGAAAAUCUACGAACACUAUGUUGGAAUCUGGUAUAAGAAAGAUGUAGAAAAAAGAGUUGUAUGGGUUGAAAACAGAGACAAUCCUGUCAAUGACACUUCAGGAAUCCUCUCAACUGGUGCAAAUGGUAACCUCUUCCUCUAUGCCGAAAACCAAAGCGAUAUUCCCCUCUGGUCUGCCAUAUCCAAUGUUUCAAUCGCAUCAUUACCAUCCAAUUCCACACAUGAGCCUAAUUACAAAGCUCAGCUCUUAGAUACUGGAAAUAUUGUGGAGGGGAAAUCGAGCUCAAGACCUCAGGUGCAGGAUUGAAUGCUCUUAACUCAACUCAGUUACAAGCGCCAUUCUUUUCACUUAUGUAUCUAAAAUUGUCGGUUAAAAGCCUUGAACCAAGCAAGAAUACAAUCUAAUUUACUUUGCUUACUUUGCUAGUGGGAUCUUAUAUCUUCAUCAGGAUUCGAGAUUAAGAAUCGUCCAUAGAGAUCUAAAGGCCAUCAAUGUUCUGUUGGAUUCUGUCAUGAACCCUAAGAUUUUAGAUUUUGGUAUGGCUAGGAUAUUUGGAGCUGAACAAAUUGAAGCAAAUACAAACCUUGAGGUUGGGACAUAGUAAGUUUCCUUCAAAACUGAAAGUACACUUAUUUUUUACAAUUUUCAUCCCUAUGUCACAAGGCCACAAACGUGAGUACAACUUUUGUUGAAUAAUACAGAGAGAUGCUGUGAUAAUUAAUCACUUUUACUUUGUUGCUUCAGUGGUUAUAUGUCACCUGAGUACGCAAUAGAAAGACUUUUUUCAGUAAAGUCCGAUGUAUAUAGCUUCAGCAUUUUACUACUAGAAAUUGUUACCGACAGAAAGAACACCGGUUACUACCAAGAUAGUCUUUACUUAAAUUUAGAGCAUAACAUUAAGACAUUACCAACGUUCUCUCCGUCUGCUUUUAUAACUUGAUGAUUAAUUUGUAAAUGGUUUUUAGGUUUGGGACUUGUGAAAGGAAAGUAGAGCCUUGGAAAUCAUUGAUUCAUCUCUGGGAGAACCAUACCCUGUCAAUGAAGUUCUAAGGUGUGUUCACAUUGCCCUUUUGUGCGUGCAAGAGCAUGCAAAGGAUCAUCCACUCAUGUUAGUAGUGGUUUCCAUGUUGGCUAAUGAUGCAGCAAUUCCUUCACCAAAGCAACCUGGAUUUUUGUUGAAGAGAAGUUAUCAUACUAGUGGAGACCCAUCAGACAAUACUGAAGGAGCUUACUCUAUAAAUGACAUGACCCAUACAGAAGUAGAAGGUCGCUAAGGAGAGAACCAGACAUAUACUCGAAAAGAUUAUAUCAAUCAAUUAAGAGUAUGGUCUCUUAUGAGUGAGAUUAGAAGAAAGGAUAUGCCCUGAUUUCACUCAAUAAUUUGCCUUAUAACUAUUGAUCUAAGUUCUAUAUCUACAACACUCGUCAUCUGUCUUGAAAUGCCGCUCCUUUCAUUUUGCAUAUCAUUGAACUUUUGGUAUUUUGUAAUAAUGUACUAAUGUUUUUUCAUUAGACUCUUAUUUUGGGGUAUGUAAUACUUAAAAGACAAAUGUUGUUUUUAUAUUUUGAAGUAAUAUUUAUGUGACUAUAUGGUAUACAUAUACUAAUUUAGUAUUAUGUUUUCAAUUUUUUGGGGGUCAAAUUAUGUUUUUCAUUUUCAUUAUUUAUUGAUUUAAAAUAUAUUUUUUUAACUGGUGUUGGGGGACUUUUAGGUCGAGGCGGACUUGGGCUUUGAGAACGUCACCCUUGGUGCAAGUUCGUGACAAGUCUGGGAUAUCUCGAAGGAGGUAGCUUGUCCUAGGAAACACCCUGGUAACAUCAACGGCUCAAAGAUAGCACAAAAGAUCAAGAUAAUGACUUGCUCAAGCAAAGCAUGGUGUGGAAGCUAGAAGAUUAUCGGUUUACAUGAGAGAAAGAAGGUUUGCAUGGUUGCAUGGCAUUCUUAGUUGCAUGUUUCGGGCUUUCCUAGGGUGAUAGCAAGGCUUCUAGUGGCUGAGAUGUUUGAUGGAGGGCUGUGGAAAUCACUACAAUUGCAUGAAUGGUGAUACUUGAAGCUUAGAGUAUGCAUCUGGACUAGAUGGAACUCUUUGGGCUUCUUCCUGGGUGGAAACAUCUUACUAUGUUUUGUCUAUCUCUCUCUAUGUAUUUCUCUCUGCGUUCUAACCUCCUCAUUUCUAAUAGCUUCUCCCCCUCUUUAGAUAGGUGAAGAGCUUCUCUUUAGAUUUCAAGAAAUAUCUCUUUGUGGCUUGGUCUUCCCCUCAUUUCUCCCUAGCUAUCCCAGUAUUUCCCUUUUGGUGUAAACUAGAUGCACUGUUUGAGUUAUGCAGAUUGCUGUUUCUUGAGAUGCAGCUUUCCUAGGGCGGCCUUCCGCAAGCGCUAAAUCUAGUAGCGCGCUUCUGGGCUUUUGUGCAUUCGCUGUCUGUGCAGGCUGGGAAUGGAAAGUCAGCAUUAAAUGCCUGACUUGCUAAGCUUGACAUGCAUUUAAUGUAAGAAUCUAGUUUAAUUCUAAUUAAGGGGAUUGGCUUACUAGGGAAAUGGAUAAACUAGGCUAGCUCUCAUUCCCAAUGAUGCCUGCGUGAAAUACAAAGGGUAUAGGCUUGGAUCUUUAGGCUCCUAAGCAGCCCAAAGUCUUCCAUGACCCUAAUUCCACAUAGGCCCGAUAACCUUAUGUAAUCAUCCACACCACAAUCCACUUAGCAAGUCUCGAAUAUGUGACUUGGGCUUAGCGUGAAUAUUGACUAAGGAGGCAUGGCGUGAUGAAUAAUACGUGAGCAUGGUGUGAGUAUUCCGCUUAAUUCUUGUGGCAUGGCAUGCUUGUAAAUAUAUUCCUUGUUGGUCCCGUGCCUUGGCAUGUGCUUGGGCUUGAAUGUAGGCUUUGCAUGAUAAUUGGGCUUUGAGACUUGGUAGGAUCGAUGCGUGACAUUUUUAGGCCCCAACAACGAGUAAAUUGUAACAGGUCAGGUCAUAUUACCUAAUAAUAUUAACGGGUUGAUUUCGAAUCAGGUCAUAUUACCCGUUUACUUUAACGGAUAUUGCCUGACACGACCCGUUAAGAUAUUGGGUAUGUCACGAAAACGACAUGAACACGAAAAACACAACAUGAAUACCAGGUCUAAUGCUCGACACACAUUAGACCUUUGGAUGUUAUGAUAAUUUAGUGUCAGAAAUAAUAAUUUAGAGGUAGAAUAUUGUUGACUAUCACAUGUGCUAGUAUAUGCUUCAAAUAAUUUUAGAGGUACAAUAUUGUUAAAAAUUAUAAUGCUCUUAUUUGAACGGUGAUUUAUACAAGGGGAAACUUGAUAUAAGCAAUUUUUUUUAGCCGAUAGUAGGAAUAGUCCAAUUUAUUUAAAUAAGUCCAAUUCUUUAAAUUUAAUUAUUUAAUUAUCAAUAAUUAUCUAUUAAAUGAUAAGAUUUAUUAUUACUUUAGUCUAAAGAAAGGUUUGGAAUUGACACUGUAGAAAUGAAUAGUGUUUCAAUUCGAAUUUCAGAUUAAUUACUACCAUGCCAUUGAUCUUUCUGUUGGUUUUGGGUCAGCAGCCCAGCCUUCAGCCAGGCCCAAAUGUGUUGGUUUUAGCUGGGAAGCAAGGCCCUCAAUGAGGCCUAAAUUAUUUAACUACAUUUUUGCCCAUCUAGUGUAACAUCCCACAUCGCCCAGGGGAGUAAAUCAUGUAAGCCUUAUAUGUAUAUUCUCAUCUCUACCUAGCACGAGGCUUUUUGGGAACUCAAUGGCUUUGGGUUCCGUAGGAACUCCGAAGUUAAGCGAGUAGCUCGUGAGAGCAAUCCCAUGAUGGGUGACCCACUGGGAAGUUCUCGUGUGAGUUCCCAGAAAUAAAAUCGUGAAGGCAUGGUCGGAGCCCAAAACGGACAAUAUCGUGCUACAGUGGAGUUGAGCCGGGGAUGUGGUGAGGGCCCGGGUCGGGAUGUGACAUCUAGGAUUACAAUCUGAUAGUAGGGAUGGUUUAUUACGAAGGGCAAUUUUGUCCUCUCUGUUUUGGGCGAGAUAGGGGGUCACUGGUUAGGUAUCAUUUGCUGUCGUUCAAUUAGGGUUUCGGGAAGGGUCUGCGAGAGAGAGAUAGAUAGAGAGAGAGAUGGCGAUGGAAGAAGAGAGAGGGGGAGGGGUAGGGGUCUCGACACUGUUGCUGCAGAUGAGAGGGUCGGUAUGGUCAAAGAAAACCAUAUGGGUCGUCAGGAUUUCAGGGAGAUAGGGAAGGGGUCAUCAACAAACCCUACCGAGGGUAAGGUGUGCCGGAUCUUGCGUUGCAUGCCUCAAAUCCAAAGGUUAGUUCCUUUUUAAAAUUGUUUUCUUUAAUGGUGCCUUAGAUUUUCUAAUUGUUUAGUAUGUUAGGUCCAGUUUUAGGGGAUUUGUGAUUUUAUAGAGAGAGAUGGAUAGGGAGAUAGAGAUUGACAGAGGGAAGAAAAAGCAUGGUUGUGUGCAUUUUUUUGGGUUAAUUAAUGGGUUAGCGCACAGGGUCAGUGAGGAGAGUGACAAAGGGGUGUAUAGGAGGGUAUGGGUUUUCACUUUUUUGCUCUGAUUCAACAGGUUAUGCACUGUUUGAAAAUCAUUGUUUAUUGUUUUGUUUUCCGUUUGCUUUGUUAAAACCAUAUUUCAAUUUUUUUGGUUUCAUUGUGCUCAUUUAUGUGCUUCUUAAUAACUUCCUGGUGUUUGCUUCUCAUCCCUUUGUUGGUAGAUUUUUCCCCAUUUCUUGGUUCCUUAUGUAUUCCUUGGUACAAAUCUGUCUAAUUUUUGGCUAUGUGAUGAUCCUUGCAGGUGAGCUACAUUAAUGUUGUUUUGAAACACAGAGCUUCAUCCCCUCGAAUAUGCAAUUCAUAGUAGCAGCCUCACCCUUUCACUAUUAUCUGCUUAAAGCAAAACAUUUUUAUUAUGGCCUUGGUUUCUUGACAUUUUUAGGUAUAUAAUUUGCUAUACUUUUGUUUUGGUUACUUCAGUUAGAUGUAAUGUCACCUAACAUAGUAUAAUAGACAAAAUCACCAUCUCUGUUCUCUUCAAGAUAAUUUAUUUCGUAAUCCAACUUUGUUUGCAAGCUUUGUUUGCAAUAGUAUGUAUAAGCCAGAUCUCUUAUUUCCCUGCAAAUGAAUAGAAUUAAUGCAAUCCUCGGUCAAAUCAUUUAUCACAUUCAGACAAGUUCCCAAUUAUUUUUGCAUAUGAAGAAGACCAUCUUCACCAACACCGGAUUUAUCUGCAAACUUAAUUUUGAUCACCCCGAACUUAUUAAUCAAGAAGCCACUGUUUUAAUAAAAUUUGGCAUAAUCUUUAACAUGAAUAUAGAAGGAAAGAAUGGAUGUAUAUGUGUAGAAAUUAUGUUGGAAGGUUGGUUAAACUUAGGCUUAUUCUCAAGUAUAGUAUAAAUUCUUGGGUUAUUUGGAUUUCAGUAUUUAUCAAACUUUGCCUUGCUUAUGUAUUGAUCUCAUAACUGUCGCUUUCAUACAACAACCCAAAUAUGGAAUCUGCCAUCUGGAUUCUAUAUGGAAGUUGUGAAGCUUUUUUCCCUCAAAAUUUUGGUCUUUUUGUUUUUGUAUGUUGGUUUAAAACAAGGGUUAUUCUACAAAAUGGUCCCUGAGAUUUGCAUGAUCAAUAGAAAUGGUCCUUGAGAUUGAAAAUCAAUAUAAAUAAUCCCUGAGAUUGUCCACCAUCCAUGAUUUUGGUCAUUCCGUUAAAAACUCUUUGGGCAAUUUUCAAAGCUUCGUAACUUAAUUGAUUCUUAACCAAAUUUGACCCAUAAUAUAUAAAAAUGAAUAUAAGAAAGUGUAGAACAAGAUUAUACCUAUUUGGAAGCCCAAUGAUUUCCAGAGAUGGCUUGAAAAUAGCCUGAAAGGUGACUGGUCCGUGGGAAAACUGGAAAACUCGCCAGAAACUAAGUAAACUUUAAGCGUUCAUAACUUCUUCAAUACUCAACGAAAUCAAGUGAUUCAAAAAUGAAAAUCAUACUUCUCAAAGAUACGAAGAGAAUGGUAUCUUUCUUUACUACUAACUUGCCAUGAUUUAGCCGGAAAACUGCUCGAAAGUGGCUAACUCAAAAAUGGUUAGCCACAUUUGAGCCGUUGUUCAACCAAAACACAGCGAUUUAGCCUUCAAAAAAAGUACCAUUCUCUUCGUCUCAUCAAGAAGUAUUAUUUUCAUUUUUGAAUCACUCGAUUUGGUUGAGUAUUGAAUAAGUUAUGAAUUUUUAAAGUUUACCCAGUUUCCGGCGAGUUUUCCAGUUUUCCCAUGGACCAGUCACCUUUUAGGCUAUUUUUCGGCCAUCUCCGGCAACCAUUGGGCUUCUAAAUAGAUAUAAUCUUAUUCUCCACUUUCCUAUCUUCAUUUUGAUAUAUUAUGGGUCGAAUUUAAGAAACAAUUGAGUUACAAAGCUUUGAAAGUUGCCCAAAAUCGUUUUUAACUAAAGGACAAAAUCAUGGAUGUUGGACAAUCUCAGGGACCAUUUUGUAUAAUAACCCUUAAAACAAAUAAAAAGUUUUUGUAUUGGUAUUUUGCUUUUGUUCCUAAACAAUGGCAAUUUUUUACUUCUGAAAUGAUUGUCACCUUAUUAUUUGUUUAUGUGCCAGUGCCAAGUUCUGAUGGUGCUCAUUGCUCUAGGAAAAUUGGGAGGGGAAAUUUUCAUAUGCUUUGUGGAAUCUUUGAUGCAAUUAGCAUUUUAAAUUUGACCCCUCCCAUUAGUUUUUUUUUUUUCUGAUAAAUUCUGUUGCGAUCUAUGUGUGUUGCUGAUGAAAGAAGAUAAAGGUUUAGCCAUGAUUCUUAAUGGUCCCUGAAACUUGUUGAUGCACAAAAUCAGUGGGGAAUUUGGUAUAACAGAAAAUGUUAAGUUUGUGACCUUCGCUAGAUUGCUCCGGUCACUAGUGUGGAUAAGUAUGUAAAUGGACAGAGACAAGGAAGCAAACACAAGAUGUACGUGGUUCACCCAGAUUGGCUACGUCCACGGAGUAGAGAAGUUCUCAUUAAUUGUGAAGGGUUUACACAAGUACAUAGGUUCAAGCUCUCAUUUAGUGAGUACAAGUGAAUGAUUUAGUACAAAUGACAUUAGGAAAUAUUGUGGGAGAAUGAUCUCCUUUUAUAAAAGAGAGUUUCUAGUUUUGUUUUGACGUUAACACGUGUCGUGUUGUGAUUAGCUUCUGAUGUUGACACGUGUCGUGCUAUGAUUGGCUUCUGAUGUCGACAUGUGGUGCACUGUGAUUGGCCUUUUGGUUGGAGGGAAACUCUUUUGGGUCCUUGACGGUAUAACGUUGAUUAGUGCUUAGUAGUUUUGGGAUUGGUCAAGUAUGGUAUAAACAAAACUCAUGGGUACUUUCACUUACUAUGCAUACGGUGAUAAUUGUGGCUGAGGCUGUUAUGAUUCAUAACUAGGCAAUUUCCUCUCACAUUUCCUUUGGUUGUGUAAUGAUUUUCUUUUGUCCUAACUUCACUUGCCAUCAUAUGUUUAGGCUUGGGUUACCCUUGGUAGAGCAAAGUUAAACUUUGGGGAGGCUGAUAGUGCCAUUCAAAGCUUUGACAGAGCAUUAGCCAUCAAGGUACUGUUUCACCUUUCAAGAAAUUAUAAUUUGUACUUCUCAAACUUCUUACACUUUUUUAUGCCUCUUUGAGCCACUGACCUUAGGUGGAGUCUGAUACUGCAAUAUUAUGUACUAAUCUAAUAAACCCUGCAGCUUAUUCGUCUUCUUCAUGGGUAAAAUAACAUGACAGAAAGAAGCAGUAACCAGUUCACCCAUUCCCUUGAUGAUCGUUAUAAUCUUUGUUUUCUUAGUCUCCUCUAUGCCCUCCUCAUCAAGAAAGUUCUUAAACCUGUUCCCAUAUGUGUAUUGUUAAGUUGCUAAUUUAUAGAUUAACCUACUGUGAUUCUGUGCUUGAAGUCAGGCAUAUGGUUAGACUUCCAAAUUGAUGCCUUAGUAGCUUCAAUGCUUGCCUUAAAAUUACUAUAGGCAUAACUGUUACAGUUUGUUUGUACCAUACUUGACCAAUCCCGAAACUACCGAGCACCGGCCAACGCUAUACUGUCAAGGACCCAGAAGAGUUCCCCUCCGACCAGGAGGCCAAUCACUACUCGACACGUGUCAAGAUUAGAAGCCAAUCAGAGCGCAGCACGUGUCGACAUCAAGAACCAAUCAUAACAUGACACAUGUCAAUGUGACAAAGCUACAAGUUUUUCUAUAAAUAGGGGUCAUUCCCCCACAAUAUCGCCUAAUGCCAUUUUGUGUUAAAUCAUUCACAAGAACUCACUAAAUUGAGAGCUUGAUCCUUUGUACUUGUGUAAGCCCUUCACUACUAAUAAGAACUCCUCUACUCCGUGGACGUAGCCAAUCUGGGUGAACCACGUACAUCCUGUGUUUGCUUCUCUGUCUCUAUUCAUUUACGUACUUAUCCUCACUAGUGACGGAAGCAACCAAGCGAAGGUCACAAAACCUGACACUUUCUGUUGUACCAAAGUCUUCGCUGAUUUUGUGCAUCAACAUUUGGCGCCGUCUGUGGGAAACGACACUUAUUCCUACUCUCUUCAGCUGUGUCAAGCUGGUUUCUAUCAUUCGUACACUUUCUUUUGAUCUGGCAUCCCUCUCCAGCAUGGGAAGCGAAGGAAGCCACAGCACACAGAAUGACACCCCCCUUGCACAUAGUGCGAAACAACGAAAGAAGGAAGGAAAACGAGUUAUUCUUCAAGCUAAAGUCGAUGAGUUGGAAGCUUAGAACAACAAGAUAGCAAUGAGGAAUGAGGUCCUCCAGGAGCAAUAUGAGAAGCUCUUCGAGACACUUCACGAAGCUAGGCAAGCUCAGACACGCGAGCUUGUUGCCCCCGUGGAAGUCAACCAUCAACUGGGUGCCCUCCAACAUGGAGGGUCACAUGCAUUCGACAUAGAUAUCCCUGAUAGGGAACAAAUUACCCCUCGAUUUGAUAAUCAACAUGAGGCUUCUCUUAACCCAGUUGCUUCGACCCGAACCAUGAGAAGCGGAGGGAGACACCUCUUUGCUGAAGGGGCAGAAGGAUCGAAAGCUGUCUUUCGCGAUUGUCGGGAUUUCCUGAAGCAACGUCGAGAGAAUUCCAUCCAUAUAAGCUCAAAGAUCAAUGACCCAAGGAUUUCUGAGAGACUCGGUCCCCUGCCACGGCCCGAGCCGGCCACCAACUUGGGGAAGGGGCAACAAGUCCUAGAGAGACAUGAGGGUACAGGGGACUCAGAGGUGUUCCGACAGACAUACCCUGGAAGCCAGUACAGCGAGUCCAGGGAAAAAAUCACAUGCCCUUGAUCAAACCUUCCUAAUUCCAAGAGGAGAUGGAGAUUUACGAAAGAAAGCUCCAGUGGCACAUAACUCCGCUCAGGACCCCCCUUGUCCUACAACUUCUUGAGGAAGUAAACAAGUUGAAGGCUGAACGUCAGGCUAAAAUACCUGACUGGAACCAACCCAGGCCUGGCCCUCUUACAAGGAGGAUCCUCAACACCCCCCUUCAAGCAAAGACAAAGCAGAAGCUUGGCUUGCAACUUUAUACUGGGAAAGAGGACCCGAUUGAGCACCUUAACCUCUUUGAGUCCACCAUGGCAUACCGGAUGCACACCGACGAAGAGCGAUGUCUUCUCUUCCCCUCCACCCUCUCUGGCGGAGCUCUAAAUUGGUAUUGUCGUCUUACACCUGAGACGGUAGACUCAUUUGAGGAAUUGAGGAAACUAUUUGUUUCCCAACACAUUUUCCAAACCGAUCGCUUGCACUCUGCAGAUGACCUGUACACUAUCCGCCAGAAGCCAGACGAGUCAUUACGUAUGUAUGCUGGCCGCUUCAGCCAUGAAUACUCCCGGUGUGCCGAGGCAGACGACAAGACUGCCCUCAAAGCCUUCACGGCAGGCCUACGUGAUUGUUUCUUUAAAUACAUGAUCAAUGUCAAUACUUGGAAGACUUACUCUGAGGUGAUGGCGCAGGCUUAUAACCAUGCCUCCGCCGAGGCAAAGACAUAUCAGGAGAAACCCCCUACAACCAUCCUUUAUCAACAAGUGGGAGGUGGAAGCCAGACUCACCUAAAUGAGAAGACCUCGACUUUCCAAACAGCAGUGGCACCUCCCCAUGCCGUGCAUAAUGCUUCACCGAAUCAACAGACAUAUCAAUUUCAAGGCAAGAGGAAGGAUUUCCAUCCUCACCACUCUCCUUCCAGUAAAAAGAGUAAGGGACACUAUCCCGAUAACCAAGGGUAUCGCCACAAUAACGCUCGCCCCCAGGCAGUCAAUGCAGUGGGUCAAACCCGCGUCAAGAUACCCCCUACCCCAAGGUAUGAGACAUACACGCCCUUGAAUGCCACAUGCGCGGCCAUUUACCCCAGCAUAGCUCACCUGAUACCAAAGCCAAAGCCGAGGCACCCAGAUUACACGCCCCCGAAUAACGCGGGCAUGUUUUGUUGCUACCAUGAGCAUAACGGCCAUGAUAGCGAGAAAUGUAUCAUCCUCCGUGAUCGUAUUGAAGCUUUGGCACGAGAAGGAAAAAUUGAUCAAUUCCUCCUUCACCCUCAAAGGGAUAACCGUAACCAACGCCAGGUGAAUGUCAUAUAUAUUCCAUAAGCGGCGGCACACCCCAUAUCUGAAUCUUCCAAUAGGGCCAUGAAAAACAGUGAACGAAUUCUGAGGCCUGGUCACCAAGUGUUUCACGUGGAAGACAUCAGGGGAGGGAAGUAUCAAAAGCCUAACUGGGAUCCGAUAUGUUUCUACCCUGAGGAAGAAAGAGGCAUCAUCUACCCUCAUAACGACCCAUUGAUCGUGGAGGCUCACAUAGCCAACUUUGAUGUUCGACGAAUCCUCGUAGACACAGGGGCUUCGGUCAAUAUCAUGUUUGCCGAAGCUUUCAGGGCACUCAGUGUAGCUGAACACUUGCUCGAUCGCUCGAUUUCUCCUCUGAUAAGCUUCUCCGGUGAUAUCGUGCAACCCUUAGGGAGCAUACAUUUACCCUUUACUAUUGGUACAGGCCCUUACACGGCUACCAUUACCACUAACUUCCUAGUGGUUGACUGCCCAACGGCAUACAAUGUCAUCUUUGGGCGCACAGGCAUCAAUGAUCUCAAGGCUAUAUGGUAUCCACGCAUAUGCUGUUGAUGAAAUUUCCAACCCCCAUGGCAACGACUACAUCAGAGGAGAUCAGCUUACUGCACGAUCAUGUUACAACACUUCAGUUAAGCAACAACACUUGCCCGGACCCAAGGAAACCCUGUCUGUACAUGACCAAGUCACAAAGACCAGCCUAGAUGAAGCGAACUUGGAUCUUCCUGAUAGCAACAAUCAACCCGAUGAUCCUCGAGAUGACUCUUUCACCCAGCAAGCCCAACCUGCUGAAGAGUUGGAGAAGGUACCUAUCUCAAGAGAUUAUCCAGAUCGCAUGGUGAAGAUUGGCACCACAUUGUCACCACCCCUUCGGUUAGCAUUGAUAUCUUUUUUGAAAGAGAACACUGAAGUCUUCGCCUGGUCAUACGAGGACAUGCCAGGCAUCUCUCCCGAUGUCAUCUGUCAUCGUUUGAGUAUUGACCCCAAGAUCAAGCCGGUGAGACAGAAGCGAAGAUCUUAUGACGCUGAACGAUACGAGGCAAUGAAAGCAGAAGUUGAAAAACUCAAAGGCAUAGGCUUUGUCCGCGAAGUCAAUUACCCGACAUGGGUAGCAAAUGUGGUCCUUGUUAGGAAAAAUCCGACCAAAGAAAGUCUUUCGCUUCAAAAGGUCUUGUGGAGGAUGUGUGUUGACUACACCGACCUAAAACAAAGGGUGUCCGAAAGAUAGUUUCCCUCUUCCUCUUAUUGACAGGCUUAUAGACUCUACGGCAGGGUGUGAGCUCUUGAGCUUUAUGGACGCUUAUUCAGGAUACAACCAAAUCCUCAUGAACCCCUCAGACCAAGAACACACGGCCUUCACUACUGACAGGGGACUAUAUUGCUAUAAAGUCAUGCCUUUCGGCCUAAAGAAUGCAGGAGCAACUUAUCAGAGACUGGUCAAUUCAAUGUUCGCCGAACAAAUUGGGAAGAACAUGGAAGUUUACGUUGAUGAUAUGCUAGUCAAAAGCAAACAUGCUGACCAACACAUCACCAACCUAUCUGAAACUUUCACCAUUCUAAAGAGGUAUCGAAUGAGGUUGAACCCCAACAAAUGUGCCUUCGGCGUGGGCUCUGGCAAAUUCUUAGGCUUCAUGAUUAGCCAACGAGGCAUUGAAGCUAACCCUGAAAAGAUCAAAGCAAUCCUCGACAUGAAAGAGCCAAUAACUUCAAAAGACAUCCAAAGCCUUACUGGCAAGGUGGACGCCUUAACCAGAUUCAUCUCUAAGGCCACAGACAGAUGUGCUCCUUUCUUCAAAGCACUCAAGGGAAAUAAGAAGUACAUUACAUGGACGGAGGAAUGUGCCAAGGCAUUCAGGAACCUCAAAGAGUACAUGAGUAAAGCCCAUCUGCUCUCCAAACCAGAAGUUGGUGACACUCUCAUCAUCUAUCUAUCGGUUUCGGCUUCAGCAGUCAGUUCUGUUCUUAUUCGAAUGGACAGUGGUGUCGAACGGCCCGUCUACUACGCUAGCAAGGCCCUACAAGAUGCGGAGACACGAUACUCCAACAUUGAGAAAUUAGCUCUAGCAUUGGUCAUGUCUGCUCGGAAACUUCGCCCUUAUUUCCAAGCACACGCCAUCAUCGUGCUUACCAAUCACCCUCUUCGACAGAUACUCCAGAGUCCUACACGUCUGGACGAAUGAUCAAAUGGGCGAUAGCAUUGGGUGAGUUUGACAUCUCCUACCAACCAAAACCAGCCGAAAAAGGCCAAGCAGUAGCAGAUUUCAUCGCCGACUUCACAUAUCCUGUUGACAUUGCUUCUACACCUAAAGCAGUAGCUUCAUUACCAUCGAAAGCUCAGAAGAUAGAACCAACAACCCCAGCAUGGAGUCUGUAUGUUGAUGGCUCAUCCAACCAACAAGGCUGUGGAGCGGGACUAGUCUUGACUACGCCCGACAAAGUAGCAAUGGAGUAUGCUCUUCGUUUCAAAUUCAAGGCAUCAAACAAUGAGGCCGAGUAUGAAGCCCUUCUAGCAGGAUUACGUUUGGCCAAACACCUCGGGGUUAAACAAAUUGAUAUUUUCAGUGACUCCCAAUUAGUGGUCAACCAGGUUACCAACAACUUUGAUGCUAAGGACAGCUCCAUGGCAGCAUAUCUUGCGCAAACACAACUUUUGCUCAAACACUUCCACUACCAGAUCACCCAAGUUCCUCGAGCGGCAAACAGUCAUGCAGACGCCCUGGCUCGCCUCGCCUCAGCUGUGGAAGACAAGAUUGGAAGAAAAAUUNCUGGAAGUACUUUUUCUCCAUCCAGGGGUGGUAUCUUUAACCGAUGAAGAUGCACAAGGUAAUGUAUCAAUUUCACUUGAAGCUUAGUUGUAGUUUUGGGCUUGGUCAAGUGCGAUACAAACCCUAUAGUAGGAGUCCCCUAAGUCGCCGAGCUAGGAGAUUUUCGGAAUGAGGUAACAGACAAGGUAAGCAAUCAGACUUCCAAGCAAGCAACCUAGAUCGGAGGUUCGACUUCAGCUUCCGGUUGAUUGUUCUCCUUCUUCUUGUGUUGUAAACAGCAACAAAGAUAAGGAGAAGCAAAUGGAGAAUAAAUGAUAUGAGAUACUUUUGCUUUUGAAGAAGUAACUUUCCACCAGUUUAUUCUUGAACUGGGCUGGAGGGUUUUCUGGUUUCCUCUAGAGUAUAAGGCUGACUCAAGAAUUUAAGGGUCAAAACAAGUCCAUCAAAUCUGGAGUACGUUCGACCCUGAUGAUAUGGGAUACUUUUGUUGUUGACAAAGUAGUGGAUGUAUCGACACGUGUUCUGUUACGCUUGUCUCCACAUGCUUCCUUGUAUCCUUCUCACUUGCCCUAUCUGUUCCUCAGGCAGAUAUGGUAUCUUCUUUGGAAGCAUAAGAUGUUGAAGAUGAGUACUCAAGAGCAAUGCCAGGUAAGUAAUCAGGCAAGGGGUUACAGGCAAUCAGUUUCUAACUGGAAGCUUGAUUCCAAGUGCUGACUGAUUGCUCUCUUUCUCCUUGUCUUACAGGUAAGAACAAGGCCAAAGGAAAAGACAGGGAAAAAGCAUGAUAUGGGAUACUCUUGCUUUUAACCGUGAUGAUAUGAGAUACUCUUGCUCUGGUGUGGCUUGUUUGCAGAGGUAUUAUGGGGAGGAAAAGAAGCUGAGUAUUUCGAGAAACUCUGCUGAGAGUGCCCUCUCGGAUGUGAGGAAAAGUUGAGCAUUUUUUUUUAUUUGCAGGUCUGCCUGGCUAUGGAGGAUGAAGGUCGACAUAUAUAAGAGUCUCCUUAAUAACAAGUAGUAGUGCUAUUCCUUUACCCUUCUUGGUCAUAGCAAUGUAGUGGGAGCUGCAAGCUUCACGUGUUUUAACUUUGUCAGAGCACUUUGAAAAACUGGUAUGUGGUAUCUGAAAAGCUGAUGUUGCGUGUGAAGAUUGCAGACAAGCUUUAUCCAAGGAAAUCUGGCUCUCGAAGUUCGAAAAGCAGUGCCUCUUCGAUUUUUGAACAAGCAAUCCUGUCAGGGAUCUUACUCUCGAGAUUCAGAUAACGGUGCCUCUUCAAUUUUUGAGAAAGCAAUCUUGUUGGGAGUCUGACUCUUGAGAUUCGGAGAACAGUCGAUUUUUUAGAAAGUAAUCUUAUUGGGAGUCUGGCUCUUGAGAUUCGGAGGGUGGUGCCUCUUCGAUGUUUGAGCACGUAAUCCUAUUGGGAGUCUGGCUCUCGAGAUUUGGAGAAUGGUGCAUCUUCGAUUUUUGAGAAAGCAAUCUUGUUGGAAGUCUGACUCUCGAGAUUCGGAGGGCGGUGCCUCUUCAAUUUUUGAGCAAGCAAUCUUAUUGGGAGUGUUUUCUCGAAUGUGAGUAAAGGUUUGACAUUUUUGCCAGUCUGCCUUGCCACGGAGCAUGAAGGUUGACACACAUUGAGACUUUCUAGUUAUCAAGCAGUGGUGUUGUUCCUUUACCUUUGUGGGUAAUAGUAGGGUAGCUGGACCUUCAAAAUUUAUAUGUCUAAACUUUGUCAGAGAUUUUUGGCAAAGUUAUCUGUGGUACCCGAGGAGAUGAUGUUGCAUGUGGAAAGUGGUCUCUAUUCGGAAUCCGGAGAGUGGUGCCUCUUCGAUUUUUGAACCAACGGCCCUGUUGCCUUUUCUUUUAUAAGGGCACCAAUUUGUGCUAGAAGUACAUUUAGAGAGUUAUUGCUUGUAGGAAUUUUCCCCUUACUUCAGAGAUUUAUUGCACCUCAUUUCUCAUUCAUCAUUUCUGAGAAUGUCUGGCUCAUCCGACCAUUGUUUUGACUUGAACUUUGGUGAAGAGGCAGCCAUGCCUUCUUAAGACAACAUAUGACGCCCAUCUUUCUUAUCCCCUACUGGUCCUCUUACCGUUGGGGACUCUAUGAUGAAGAAUGAUAUGACCGCUGCGGUGGUGGCCAGGAACCUUCUCACUCCCAAAGAUAACAGACUACUUUCCAAACGGUCUGAUGAGUUAGCUAUUAAGGAUUAUCUGGCUCAAAGUGUUCAGUGUGCAGGUUCUGUGUCUAAUAUGGCCCAACGCCUAUUUGCUCGAACCCGCCAAGUUGAAUCAUUGGCAGCUGAAGUGAUAAGUUUCAAACAGGAGAUCAAAGGGCUCAAGCAUGAGAAUAAACAGUUACACAUGCUCGCACAUGACUAUGCUACAAACAUGAAGAGGAAGCUCGACCAGCUGCAGGAAUCUAAUGGUCAAAUUUUACUUAAUCAUCAGAGAUUUGUGGGUUUGUUCCAAAGGCAUUUAUUGCCUUCGUCUUCUGGGGCUGUACCGCGUAAUGAAGCUCCAAACGAUCAACAUUUGGUGCCUCAUCUUUCUGGGGUUCUGCCUAGUACUAAGGCUCCGAAUAACCACCCUCUGGUGCCUCCUAAUUCUGGGGCUCUCCCGACUACUGAGACUUCUCCUGAGCAACCUUUGUGAAGGCUCCCUCUUGUUUGUUUAUUUUGAUUCAUGUAUAUGUACAUAUUUGUAACUUAUCGGAGAUAUCAAUAAACAAGCUUUGCUUCAUUUCAACGUAUUAUGUUAAAUACACCAAGGCCUUCUUCAUUAAGUUCUUUGAAUUUUUCCUUUUGUUGAAUCUUGUAUGUUGAAGCUUUAUGAGUGAAGCCUGUAUGUUGAGGUAGUGCUCCCUUAAUUUCCCGAGUGAGGAAAACUGCUUGGUUGGAGACUUGAAAAAAUCCAAGUCACUGAGUGGUCAUGAGACUUCUGAGUAUCAAGGUACAGUAGCAUAUGGUAGGAGUCCCCCAAGUCUCCGGUCAAGAGAGUUGACGAAUAAGGUGUCUUGCUAGUAGCCAAGUUUCCAAAGUAACAAAAUUUCACCAUUUUCCUUUCUAAGUGGCAACCCAAAACUCCGAAUAUAUAUUUAUUUUUUUUUUUCAAAUAAGAGGAGCCUAGGCAAUUUAUUUAUUUAUUUAUUUUUUCAAAUUUUCAAAUUUUUGAAUUUUUGAAUUUCCGAAUAUAUAUAUAUAUAUAUAUAUAUAUAUAUAUAUAUAAAGCUUUGUAGGUGAAGUUUUGAGGUUGAAACUUUGUUGGGUACCAUGAAUUGAUUUUGCUUCACACUAUCUUGUCAAGAUAAUGUGAAGCUUUUGAGAAUUUGUAGUUGUCCUCCAUUGAUGAAGCAAUUUGUAGUUGUCCUCCAUUGAUGAAGCUUUUGUUGGUGAAGCUUUUGUGGUGGGGGAAGCUUUUGUGGGAGAAGCUUUUGUGGUGUGAGACUUUUGUGAGUGAAGCUUUUGUUGGUGAAGCUUUUAUGGGUGAAUCUUUUGUAGGUGAAGCUUUUGUGGUGGGUGAAGCUUUUGUGGGUGAAGCUUUUGUGGUGGGUGAAGCUUUUGUGGGUGAAGCUUUUGUUGGUGAAGCUUUUAUGGGUGAAGCUUUUGUAGGUGAAGCUAUUGUGGGUGAAGCUUUUGUAGGUGAAGUUUUUGUGGUGGGCGAAGCUUUUGUGGUGGGUGAAGCUUUUAUGGGUGAAGCUUUUGUAGGUGAAUGAUGAUGCACAAAAUCAGUGAGGACUUUGGUACAACAGAAAGUGUUAAGUUUGUGACAUUCGCUAGAUUGCUCCGGUUACUAGUGUGGAUAAGUAUGUAAAUGGAUAUGGACAGGGAAGCAAACACAAGAUAUACGUGGUUCACCCAGAUUGGCUACGUCCACGGAGUAGAGGAGUUCUCAUUAAUUGUGAAGGGUUUACACAAGUACAUAGGUUCAGGCUCUCAUUUUGUGAGUACUAGUGAAUGGUUUAGUACAAAUGACAUUAGGAAAUAUUGUGAGAGAAUGAUCUCUAUUUAUAGAAGAGAGUUUCUAGUUUCAUUCUGACAUUGACAAGUGUCGUGUUGUGAUUAGCUUCAGAUGUUGACACGUGUCGCGCUAUGAUUGGCUUCUGAUGUCGACACGCGUCGAGCUGUGAUUGGCCUCCUGGUUGGAGGGAAACUCUUCUGAGUCCUUGACUGUAUAACGUUGACCGGUGCUCAGUAGUUUCGGGGAUUGGUCAAGUAUGGUACAAACAUACUUUAAUCUUCUCCCGGGUCCCCAAUUACAACAAAAAUCAGAAUUGUAUAAAUAUUAAGAACACAAUGAAACUGAAAAAAUUAUAUGGUUCUGGAAGGUAUACAAAAAGUUUCCCCUUCUUUCGUCUUAAAUUUGUUUUGCAGCUUUAUUUCGGCUCAAGUUUCAUUUUCUUUCGUCUAGGAAAUUUUUAUAGCCUGAAAUUUCAAUGGAACUGAAAUAGGGAGAGGAGGACAACCCAAAUUUCUGAAUGAUCCCACUGCUUCUGGUGUACGAAGAUAUGAAGAUUUGCCAAUUGAUGAACACAGAGGAGAAACAGAUUUACCUUCUUUCGAUUUAACCACCUUGGUAGCAGCCACAGAAAACUUCUCUUAUGCUAACAUGCUUGGCCAUGGCGGCUUCGGCAUGGUAUAUAAGGUACUUCCCCUAGAACAUUUUGAGAUCUGUGCAUUAUGUGGCUUCGGCAUCUCUGUUGUCAUUAAGAUUUUCGAGUCUGCACCAUGAUUUCAGGGAUGUCUAGCUGAUGGACAAGAAAUAGCUGUUAAAAGAUUAUCGAGAAAUUCAGGACAAGGCAUAGACGAAUUCAAGAACGAAGUAAUGCUUAUUGCAAAGCUUCAGCAUAGAAAUCUUGUGAGGCUUUUGGGUUGCUGCAUACAUAAAGAAGAGAUGAUGCUAAUCUAUGAAUACAUGCCAAAUCGUAGCUUCGACUUAUGCAUUUUUGGUAUGCCAUCUUUACACACUGCUAUUAAAUACUUUAAGUUUUCUGACAUAAACCCUGAAAUUAAGAAAUCAUAAACUUGUAGAUAAUAGAAGCUUUUAUGUGUGGUGUUCAGAUAAAAACGGAAAUUCGUCGUUAGAUUGGAGAAAAAGGUUUCAAAUUAUCAUUGGGAUUGCUCGAGGCGUCCUAUAUCUUCAUCAAGAUUCGAGACUAAAAAUAAUCCACAGGGAUUUGAAAGCGGGCAAUGUUUUACUCGAUGGUUCAAUGAACCCAAAAAUAUCAAAUUUUGGCAUAGCAAGAAUGUUCGGGGAUGACCAAAUUGAAGCAAACACGAACAAAGUUGUUGGCACCUAGUAAUUGUCUCAUCUCCCUUGAAAAAAAAAAUUCAAGUAGAACCAAUAUUUUUUUUUACUCAUAUUGUGUAAUUGCAGCGGUUACAUGUCACCGGAGUAUGCUAUGGAUGGGCUAUAUUCCACAAAAUCCGAUGUGUUUAGCUUCAGAGUCUUGACACUAGAGAUCAUUAGUGGAAGGAAGAAUACCUUCCAAUUUGAAAACUCAUCUCUAAAUCUAGUUGGACUAGUAAGUAAACAGAUAAUUUUUCAACCGAUGAAUCUAACUUUCGAGUAGUCCAAUGAUCUAAACUUUGUGCUCAAAAUUGUUUCAGAUAUGGGGCUUGUGGACAAAAGGAAAAGUCUUGGACAUAAUUGAUUCAUCAUUGAACCAGUCGUAUUCGACUCCUGAAGUUAUGAGAUGCAUUCAGAUUGGGCUCUUGUGCGUUCAAGAAUACCCAACAGACCGGCCAACCAUGCUAGAUGUUGUGUUCAUGUUGGGGAAUGAAACUACUCUUCCACGUCCGAAAAAGGCAGCAUUUAGCUUGAAAAACAGUGGUCCGGAUUGUUCAACGUCUAAAGAAGCUCCUUCUGUAAAUGAUGUAACAGUAGCAGUUAUUGAAGCUCGUUGAGUUUGCACUUUGCCAGUUCUUGUAGAGAUUUUGUGUUACUUCUCAAGUAUUUGUACUCAAAUCGAGAUUCCUUGUGUAGAGAAGGCAAUGCCUUUGAAAUUGUCGAUUCAUCUCUGGACGGAUCGUACCCUAUCAACGAAGUUGUGAGAUGUAUCUAAAUUGCCCUCUUAUGUGUGCAAGAGUAUUUUGGAUAUUAUACUUUAAUCCAACGGCUAAUAGGUCACUAUAGUUAUGGAAUGUAAGUAGGAUUAGAGUUUAACUUGGACUCCAAGUAAAGAUAAUAUUCCGGUUAUUCUUGAAGAAUAAGAGUUCUUGAUACUAUCCUAUUUGGAUUGAGGUUUGGUAGAUUAUUUGUUUGUACAAUAAGGCAUCCUAAUGACAUCAGAACAGAAUCCUAAUGACAUCAUUAUGGGAUUAUGCAUUCAGUUUUUUUUUUUUUUUUUUUGAAUAAACAAUAUUAUUUACACUAAGAGGUUGGGAGUAGGGUAAGCCUCAAAAUGGGGUUCAAAUUCACCUUUGACAAUAAUCAAACCUUAAACCUCUCAAUUACCAGUGAAGAUCGGAAUAUUACUAAACCGUAGUAAGUGACGAGAGAAUGCAUUAGGGUUAAGUUAGUAUAAAUGCUAAACAUAGGUCCCUGCACAUACCUCUGAAACACAACUCAAAAGAAUUCCCCAUAGGUUUGAGGUAUACUGACACGCCCCAACCCAAAUAUCCUAAUGAUACCUGCAUGGCACGUGCUGACCGACACUCGGAAGUGACGAAAGCCAUAAUUCCAUACAAGCACAAGAAAAUAUCAGCACCUGAAGAUCAAAAAUAAUAAACAAUAACAAGAUCCUGAAUUAAACAUAAGGGUAUCGGAAAGUUCAAUGAUCAUAGAUUCGAAACAAAAGAAAUACAAAUAUGUCCAGAGCAUACUACUACACGGAACUACAAGUGCAAAUAAGAAUUCAGAUUACAAUUCAGCAAGAAAAUCAUACCCAAAUGGAAGAGCUCAAAGUCACUGGUAGGGAAAUACCUCGACACUCGGGUCGUACUCCUCGUCACAAGGUCCUAAGUGGGCACAAAACAGAAAAGGUGAGUGGACCAUAGUUAUAUUUAUACUAAUACUAUUCAAACCCAAAUUCUUUCUUAACAUAAUAACCCCCUGCUUUGAAAACAGAUAUAAUACUACGUAUAGGUUUUUCUAAAACUCUAGCAUGCUAGAAAAGUUUGUAACCAUAAAAUCAUCUCUAAAACAUGCAUCUCGAAAUGCCCGAAGGCAAAACCAUAAAUCCCAUCAAAGUUGUAUUCUCUAGGGGUAUCAUAGUCGCCCGAAGGCAGUACCUGUCCAUCGUCCGAAAGCGAAGCUGUACGACACUGGGUUACGUCAGUCAAGAAACAUGGUAGGCCCCAUCACCCGAAGGUGAAGCUAUACUACUCCGGGUUACGCUGGAGAAUAAACUCUAUAACAUCUCACAUUGACACUAGUUGUGACUAGUGAAGCUGUCCGACACUGCUUUUGGCAAUGAAACUAGGGGUAUAACAUAUAUCCCACUCCUCCUCAUCACAGUGUCCUAUGACCAUAGACAUCUAAUACCCGUGUUGUGUGGAUGUGUUGUAUGAUAACUCACUAGAUAUAUAUACCCAAAAUAUAACUCAAAUCUCAAAGCUCAAGUCAACAACUCAAAUCAUUCUCAUAAACCACAAAUCCAUAAUAUAUCAUAAAUCCGCAAUAUCUCAUAAGGCAUAAAAGAAAUAGUCGUAAACCUUUUCUAAGUGUGAAAUCAAUAGUUAUAACAUUUCAUAAAAUGUAAUUUAAAUAAAUCAUAAUAUAGAAAUUCGUAAAGCAAAGUAUAAUAUAAAACGUAUUCAAAUCAGGUAAUAUGAAUUUGCAUGCUAGAUGGUUAAUUAUAAAAUAUACAUUUGAUAAGGGGUCCACUCACAAGUACUCCGCUCUCGGGGAGCUGCUCGAAUUAGGGAGAACUGGAUCAUCUUCCAUCGGUGCACCUAUACACAAAAUAGAGACUAUUUAAUAAAACGCUAAAGCGAUUGAAUUUGUGAAAACGGAGUGUAGAUUUGGAAUCAGAAUGUCGAAAUUAGUCUAGAAGGGUCCCGAUCGAAAAACUCGAAAAAGUCGACGGUCAACGUUGACCAUAAAGUCAACGGUCAAUGGGUCACAGUCAACGGGUCAAAUGGGUUGGACAUGUUUGGUUGGGUUGGGCCGAGGGUCUUUGGGCCGGGUUAAGUAAAAGGACUUGGGCCUAUUUUAAUUUUAAGUUUUGGGCUUAUGCUAUGAAAUAAAAGGGCGGGCUUAGCCCGUUGUGGGCUAAAUCAUUUGGGCUCUGGGCUGAGUUGGCAUGCGGGUUGGGACGACACGAGUUACUCGUGGGUCACCGGACCCAUCGAAAGAGAACACCGGCUUUUUGGCCGGAAAUUCUCCCAACUUCGAUCUGGGGUUAAACUUGCUGAAAAAUCACAAUUCAAACAUUAAACAAUGAUGCUGGAACCUGUCGGGUCAGAAUUGGCUUGACCGUGUCAGAAUUGGCCGGGAUUCGUCACGAAACCCGUCGGGUUUCCUCGCCGGAUUCUGGAAAAAGGAAACAGAGUGCAUGCAUAAUAAAUCUCAAUGAUCUUCCACCAAAAUUCACAUGCAACAAGGUAUCUAGUGACCUAGGGUCGUGUCCAAUUGAUUUCGAUUGUCAACACCCUCAAAAUCGCCGGAAAAAACCACGGGUUCACCGUCGACAUCUGAGACCAAAAGAGUAGGUGCAUGCAGAGAGUUAAACCCCAGAUUUUUCCACAUAAUACUCGUCUAGAUGGAUUAGAAACCAACACAACCAAGAAGGAAAAAUAGUUCAUACCUGCGAUGACAAUUCAAGAGAGUUCAAGCUCUCAGUGUCAAUGGCAGAGUACGUAAAAGUGCACAGAUGCCACAUGCAACCUUACAGGUGAGUUCCCUAGGUCCUAAAGAUUCGAAGUUCAAGUUUCUAGAAGUUGGUUUGGUCCUUCUCGGAUAUAGAGAGUGAAUGCAGAAAAGAAUUAGGAAGAAGAGAGAGUGUUCAGAUAGUGGGGGAUCACGGGAGAGGGAAGGAAUAAUGGGUUGGGUUUUGGGCUUGUCACAGCCCAAAGAACUGGACCAAUUUGAUAAAACCCAACACAUGGGCAAAUUCGUAAUUUUACACUUAAAUUUUUACGGUGGGUUGUUACUAGGGAUGGGCAAAAUACCUAUGGGUUUGGGUAACCACGGUUAUCCGUCCAUUUAAAGCUCACGGUUAUGGUUAUGGGUAACUGUUUGGAUGAAUAAACGGUUAUGGGCAUAACUGUUUAUCCGUGAAAUUUAAAUGGGCGAUUAUGGGUAUUACCCACGGUUAUAACGGGUAUCCAUCAGUUAUGGUUAUUACCCGCGGUUAUAACGGAUAUCCAUUUACCCAUUUAAUUUAAUAUAUGUAAAAUUAAAAAAAAAAGUAAAAACCCUAAAUUUUCAAUCUUUUCAUGAAACUCAGAGUCUUAAACGCCCCGUCCCCGCUCAUCUCUCCCUCCUUGCUGCCCUCUCUCUCAUCUCCGAACCGAUCCCAAAAGUUUCGGCUUGCGAUUCGGCCACAUCUUUAAAAGUGUUCGGUAAUCCCGAACCAACCGAAUAUUUUAUAUAUAUAUAUAUAUAUAUAUAUAACAUAGGCAUAUAUAAAAUUAGAAGGCAUACAUGAUACUGAAGCAGAAAACUAUAUAUUAUAUAUAUGUAACAUAGGCAUAUAUAAAAUUAGAAGACAUACAUGAUACUGAAGCAGUAAACAAAAUGUUAAAAGGGAUUUCGGGUUUAAUACAGCUCUUCCAAGCAACUCUGCCCUCUCUCUCGCUUAUGUCGCCCUCUUCUGAUUCCUCACAUUGUACGAUUCAUACCUAUCAAAACUAUCUUUCAAAGACUGAGACUAUAACGGUGUUUAAUUGUCAGAAAAUAAAAAUUAUGACAAAUUUUUCUUUUAUAAUUUUCAAGUUGUUAAAAAAAAAACAUGUAGAGGGUGAAAAAAGGGUAAAUGGGUGAAAAAGGAUAAACGGGUUCAAAAAUAGGUAAACAGGUAAACGGUUAUGGUUAAAUAGGUAAACGGUUAUGGGUAUGGUUAAUUGUUUAUAAACGGUUAUGAGUAUGAGUAUAAUCGUUUAUGUAAUUACCCAACAGGUAAACGAUUAUGGGGGUAUGAAUAUAAACGGUUAUGGGUAAAUAACCGCGGUUACCCGCCCGCCAUAACCGUUGCCCAUCCUUAGUUGUUACCUAUACAAUGGUGGUGAGUGUGCAAAAGGCCUUGCUUGUGUUCUUAGUGUGUUCGUGUGCUUGCUGCAGUUCGUGGCUUGCUCUGCUGUCGAAAAUGGUUUCUCCAGGCUAGUAUUUUCAUGCUGUUUUUAUUCACAUGCACAUAUUAGGAUUUACAGAGUAUGCAACUGAGCGAGCGGCCAACAAUGUCGGCUGUCAUUUUCAUGCUAUGUAAUGAAGCAGUAGCUUCUUCAAUAAAACAACCAGCAUUUUUAUUAGAGUUGUAACAGUGGGGACCCAUCACCACAGUAUUGAAGGAGAUAAUUCUGUAAAUGAUGUGACUUGUAGUAGCGUAGAACCUCGCUAAACUUAAAACUCCUGAGAUAUUCCUAAACGUUGUAUGUUAAACUACUAUUGGUAGCAGCUUGUAAAAGGUUAUUAACCACAAAAAUUUUGCUUCUAAUAAGUAGUUCCAAUUUUCUUUCUAGUGCAUUGACAUGCGGGACGUCAGAAUUAUUGGUCUCGAUUGUGACGUAAUUGAAGAGAAAUUGUACUAGUCUACUUGGCUAGUUCUUUAAAUUAUGUGACAUGUACUAUUGUGGAGGCUUAGCUAACAUAAAAUUUGGCACAAAAUUGAGCUUAAUGAUGUUCUAAAAUUCAUACAGCGCCGACCUCAUUUAAUGAGAUAAGACUUUAUUGUUGUUGUUUGUACUAUGGAUGAUGCUUGAUUUCUAACAGCCUUGGAUUUGAAAUGUAAAUCCGUCCUCUACAUAUGACACAUUCACAUUUAUUAGAGUUUAAGAAUGAGAGAUUUGUGUUAAUCAAACUUCAUGUACAGGAAAGAAGAUGUUGAUCAGUGAUGCUUUAAUGCCAAAUAAAUAAUCCUAGGACUUUUCAAAUUGGUUUACCAUUAUUUAUUUUAUUACGGAUCGCUUUUACCAUAGUAUCCAUUACUAAAUUACUAAUCACAUCUUAGCAUUCAGGCCAGCCCUGAGGGUAGCCGAGGUAGGCCGCCUAGUGCCCCCAAGUUCGGGGGGCCCCCAAAUUUUUUUAUACAUCCUGCAUAUAAAAUAUAAAUAAAGAAAACGUAAGAAACACCACAAUUAUUUUGUUGGUGCAGUGGAAACGGUUCCACUCUGUUUUCAUUGAGGUGGGCAGUUCGAAACACCUUGUAGGUAUUAGUUUUUGCGUUUUUCAAAUCUAUGAAAUUAAAGAUUAAAAUUAAAGAUAAAUUGCUCUUUAAAAAUUGUAAAAUUACAAGAAUCAAAAGGAGUUAAAAUAAUUCAACAAAUAUUAAUUUUGAAUGAAUUUAAAAUUUUCAACUUUAGAAAAAAAAAAAAAAAAAACCUCAUGGUAGUGAGUGGUUUAUGUUUAAAUUCUUAUUUAUUUUCAAAAAUAUUUUAAAUAAAAAUUGUAUAAAUAGAAAAAACUUGAGUUUCUUAAAUAAAAAACAUACAAAGGCCAAUUGUAAGAAGCUAGUGAAAUUAAUGGCCUCAAUUUGUCCAAAUGCAUUUUUUUUUCUUUUGCUUUUGAAAAUAACCUAAAAAAAAUAACAAAAACCAGAAUAAUCAUAACUUUGUAAUCCUUUUUCUUUCAACUUUCCAGUCUUUCUAUUUCUGUUGAAUGUUUAAGCAACUAUCACUUGGUCCUGAAGAUUGUAAUUUGAGGUAACCAUAACUUUGAAUUUAAAUUUUCUUUUUCAAUAAUUUAUUGUUAAACUAGGUUAUUCUAAAAUUUGAUUUGCUAGUGUGUGUUGAUUUUAGAAAGAACACAAGAGAACCACUAGGCGUUGUUGAAUUAUUAUAUUCGUCAAUCAAGUUUUAUUGUUUUUUACUCUCUUGAUCAUCAAGUUUUAUUGCUCUUCACUCUCAAUCUUAGUGCAUUUGCGUCUAAAGACAUGUGACAUGGAAUAUUAAGUAAUGUUAGUAUAUAUUUUUUUUUUCUUUUGAUAUUAAUUUAUAAUGAUAUUGGAUAAGCUCAUAUUUAUAUAUAUUUUACAUCAAAUUCACUUGUCUUUUCUUAGUUAGUUCCUUAUAUUUUUGAGCUAUUUACAUUGUUUUUGUGUUUUGUGGGAUUUGUCAAGCCAAGAAAAGAAAAAUAGCACAAAUAGGAUUUUUAGUAACAAAUUCGUCAAAACUGCCUGUGCAGAUCAGCUGACUUUGGAAGCAAGUUGCGAACAGCUCAGAAUGAAUUAGAGAAUGAGCCUUAUAUGCUUGGAAAUCUACGGAUGUCUAUUUUCUGGAGCAUUUCGCAGAUUGUUAAUAUCAUUUUUGUAGAAGAAGUUAUGGCCAUUUUAACACUAAAAGGUUCACAAGAGACUGAGCAGUUUGUAACUACAAUGAAAGCAAUAAACCCAAUAAGUCUAACAUCCAAAACUGAUGCAGCCAAGAACAAGUCAGCUGAUACCUAUUCAAAUAUCAGGGGAAAUGGAAAUAAAGAUGAGAAUUAAGUGGGAGUAAUGGGCAUAAAGGCUACCCAAAGAGUUACAAUUGUUUUACCAUUUCCUCUCACUUAUGGUCAUCACUAAAUGAUUGUUAGUGGGGUGAGUGAUGGAAAACAAAACUGGGAUAUCAAGCAAGAACAAAAAGGUGCAGGUUGCAGCUGCAAAGUGGGGGGGGGGGAAUAGGAGAAGAAAAAAGAAAAGAAAAGAAAGAGGACAAGGCAGCAGUGUUGGGGAAGGAAAGGAAGGAGGAAAUCUUGACAUUCUCUUCUCUCGGUUUUAUCUUCUCAAACUCAUGUCUUUCUUUUGGUUUUAUUUGAUAAUAAUGUGUAACUAAAUUCUUAGUAGUUAGGGGCUGUUUUGAAGCCCCAAAUAUGAUUACAAGUUUGUUAUGACAUUUUGUUUGAAUUACUUUUAUGAAUGGAUGAAAAUUGAUUCACUACUUGUCUCAUUGAUGAAUUAUUUAUGUGUUUUCUACGGAUGCAUACUUAGUAAGCAUAUCUAGGAUUCUAAAGCUAUGAAUAUGUAUGUGCCUGCCCUUGUCGAAUGAGAACCUACAUAUGUUCUAGAGUAGUACUUGUCAAUUGCGAUUAACAUGUGAACUAAUUUCUAGGAUAAGUAAGACAACGUCAGUACUUACGAUGCCAUUCUAGAUUGCAUGCUAGGGACUAAGUUAAGUUGAAAACGUCAUUCUCUUAACAUACUACAUAAGAAAGAGUAAUUUCGUAGAAUUUAGGUAAGUGUAAGUUGGUCUAAUAAUUAUUUUUCGGUGGCUGGUCAGUAGGGACAGCAACUAGUUUACCCUUAUUUUCAUAUGCUACAAUUGACAAAUCUUAGUGUUAAUGAGGAAAAUCAAUAAGACAUUUGUGUGCUAUUUUAUGGUGUGCUUUUAAUCCUAUCAAUAUUCGAUGAAGAAAUAUACUUUUUAUGUAAUUAGCGAAUUCUUCUUACUACAUACCAAUAUACAAAGAGUCGGAGGUCCGAGAACUUUAGGGCCCCACUUUGAAGACUCGCCUAGGGCCCCCAAAUUCUCAGGGCCGGCCCUGCUAGCAUCUUACCACCUUCUAGCACAUUUAUUAGGUGUUAGAUUUUAUCACAAAAAUUAAAAACAAAACCAUUCAUUGUAUUUUGUAAUUUAUUUUACCAAUUUUUCGACAUGAGAUAUUUUUGCAUUCUUCAACAGCGUGCACAUCUCUCAACCUAGUCGCUACGGGUAGCACUUAAACUCCUCAAUGAGAAAGCUAACCAUGAAUCCUACUAAUUUUUUUUGUCAAUAUUGUGUUGCUCAUCUUCCUUGUGAUUCUUCCCUCUUCCAUUUCGGCUGCUCUAGACGCCAUUACACCAAACCAACCCCUAAGAGAGGGCGACGUUCUUCUCUCCACCACUAAAAUCUUUGCACUAGGGUUUUUUAAAGCCAAGCAAUUCUCAUAACCGUUACGUCGGAGUUUGGUAAAACAAAAUUCCAAUCAAAACUGUUGUCUAGGUUGCAAACAGAGAAAACCCCAUAAUUCCCCUAUUGCUGGAACUGGACGCGCCCUAUAUUAGAAAAGUAUUCUCAUUGAAUGAAUAAUUAGAGUACAUUUGGUAUUUAUACAAAGAGCUAUAUUUGACAGCUCAUCAAAACUAACCUAUAACUAUCUAAUAACAAACUAACUUUCCAAUGACUAAUUACAACAGAAAUCACUAACUAUCCAAUGACUAAUUACAACAAAAUCAAGAUAAACAAUUAUCCUUAAUAUGCCCCCUCAAACUGAACUUGGGCAACCGAAGUGAUAGUUUGUCUUAAGCAACAGAAAACGAGACUUGGACAGAGAUUUAGUACAUAUAUCUGCAAUUUGAUCAUGUGAACAUACAAACUGAACAGUUACAGCUUUAGAGAGAACUUUUUCCCUGAUAAAAUGAUAGUCAAUCUCCACAUGUUUAGUCCUUGCAUGAAAUAAAGGAUUUUUUGCUAAGGAAAUCGCAGAAAUGUUAUCACACCACAAUUUUGGUGGAUAUGGAAGAGAUAGACCAACAUCAACAAGCAAUUUACAAAGCCAUGAAAGCUUAGCAGCAGUGUUAGCAAGAGAUCGAUACUCUGCUUCAGUGGAUGAGCGAGCCACUGUUGGUUGCUUUUUAGCACUCCAACUAAUAAGAGAGUUUCCAAGAAAUAUGCAAUAACCUCCAGUUGAUCUUCGGUCCAAGGCUUACCCUGCCCAAUCAUCAUCUGAAAAGGCAUUUGUAAUGAGUGAAGAUGAUGUUUUUGGAAACCAUAGUCCCAAAUCAAGAGUGCCCUUCAAGUAUCUCAAUAUUCUUUUAACUGCCUGCAAGUGAGACUGUCUGGGUUGAUGCAUAAGCUGACAGACCAAGUUAACAGCAAAGGAUAGAUCAGGUCGAGACCAAGUAAGGUAUUGUAACCUUCCUACAAUUGAUUUGUACUCAUCUGGAUGAGAGAGCAAUGGAGAAGAGUGGUCAAGUUUUGAUGUACUGAGAGGUGUUGCACAUGGUUUUGCACCAGCCAUGUUGGUCUUGGUAAGUAGAUCAAGAAUAUACUUGGGUUGUGAGAUAAAAAUACCAGAUAAUGACCUUUUAACCUCAAUUCCAAGAAAGAAAUGAAGAGGACCCAAGUCCUUGAUUGGAAAUAGAGAACUCAGUUGAGCUAUUGUGUCUUUGCAAGCCUGUGAAGAGGGACCCGUGACCAAGAUGUCAUCAAUAUAGACUAGGAUAAAAACCAGAGAAGGUUCAUUCUUGACAAAAAGAGAAUGAUCAUUAUGUUAUCCAUGAAAUCUCAUUGAUUUAAGUGCACCAUGAAGCCUCUCAUACCAGGCGCGAGGAGCCUGCUUUAGUCCAUAAAGACUCUUGUGAAGUUUGCAAACAUAGUGGGGCUUUGUAGGAUCUUGAAAACCAUAUGGUUGCUGCAUAAACACAUUCUCAGAUAGAUUACCAUGUAAAAAGGCAUUACUAACAUCAAACUGAUUGAGAAACUAAUCAUACUGAGAUGCUAGUGUGAGAAGAAGCCUGAUGGUUACUGGUUUAGCCACAUGGUUGAAUGUUUCUGUAUAAUCUAAACCCUCAUGUUAAUGAAAACCCUUGGCUACUAAACGAGCCUUGUAUCUGUCAAUAGUGCCAUCAGCUUUCCUUUUAAUACGGAACACUCAUUUACAACCAACAUGAUUAUGAGAAGGAUGUGGGGGAACAAGAAACCAAGUGCCUAUGUGAACCAGGACAUUAAAUUCCUCUUGCAUAUCUUGUCUCCAGUGAGGAUGUUUUGAAGCUUGGAGAUAAGUAGCAGGAAGAUUAUCUGCAGAAAUUUGGGAAGGAAGAGGGUGUUUGGUAGCUGAAUAGGCUUUUGGUUUAAAAAUGUUGGAUUUUGAUCUUGUUUGCAUAGGAUGAGUGUUUAAAGGUGGGGUUGGUGAUAUGUGUGAGGAAUGAGGAGAGACAGGGUGAGGAGAAUGAGGGAGAGGAGGUGAAAAAGUUGAAGUAGAAAAAGGUGCAUAUUGAUUUAGGUUGAUUACAAGUUGCAUAGGAUAAGAUGCUGCAGGGAAUUUGGUGAAGGUAAGAGUUGAAGGUAUGGGAGAGGAAAAGAUUGAGGCUGAGGAUGAAGAAGAUGAAACUGGAGAAACUUGAUGAAAUGGGAAAGUCAGCUCAUCAAAGAUGACAUGCCUUGAAAUAUAAAUCUUGUUGGAUUGAAGAUCAAGACAUCUAUAGCCAUUGUGAUUGAGACUAAAGCCAAGAAAGACACAGGGCUUGCUUUUGGGUUCAAGUUUGGAAGCUACAUAAGGUUUUAGCCAAGGAAAACACCUGCACCCAAACACUUUACGUGUUGUAUAAUCUGGAGGCUUGCUGAAAAGUUGUUCCCAAGGACAGGAUCUAGACAUAGUAGGCAACCUGUUUAUGAGAUAAAAUGCUGUGGAGAAUGCUUCAACCUAGUAAACAUGAGGAACAUGAGAAGCAGCUAAAAGUGUGCGAGCAACUUAUACUAAAUGUCUAUGCUUGCGCUCCACACAGUCAUUUUGUUUUGGUGUGUGAGGGCAUGAGAGUUGAUGAUGAAUGCCAUUGUCUUUAAGAUAUUGAAUAAACACGGAACUAAGAAAUUCACCAUCAGAGUUAGAUCGUAAAGUGACAACUUUAGUAUUUAACAAAGAUUCGACAAGAACUUUGAAUUCAACAAAGGUUUUAAAGACCUCAGAUUUACAUUUGAUCGGAAAGAACCAGUUAUAUCGACUGAAAUCAUCCACUAUAAAAAGAUAAAACCGAUAACCAGAUACAGAGAGAAAUGGAGCUGGACCCCAAACAUCUGCAUGUAAAAGUUCCAAAGGUCUAGUGGUAACACUAGAAGCUGAUACAAAUGGCAGUUUUGAACUUUUACCCAAUGCACAAUUUGAACAGAAGGUUUUAUUCAUAAUAGUAGUGAGAGGAAUACUAGACUUAGACACAAGUUUAUGUAAAACUUUGAAAGAGAGAUGACCCAAUCUUUGACGCCAAAUCUCUGGAGAAGCUUUGAUAGUAGCUGCAAAAUCUUAUGUGAACCAUCAUUGACAGAUGUAAUGAAUGGAUAAAAUCCAUUUUGCACAGGUCCUUUAAAAAGCGUCCUCUUCGAAAUAUGAUCCUUCACAGCGAAGUGAAAAUGAUAUAGGCGAAUUGAACACCAAUUAUCAAGUGUAAAUUUAUUUGCAGAGAGUAAAUCUUGCUUCAAAUCAGGCACAUGUAACACAUCAUGCAAAUCAAAACGAUGAUGAGGAGUAGAUAUAGAGGUAGAACCAGAAUUAGAUAUAGGCAAACCUUCACCAAUGUAGACUUGUUCAGGGCCGGUGUAUGGUGCUGGAUUUUGAAGAUUCGCCAGAGAACUUGUCAUAUGUGAGCUAGCUUCUGAAUCAAGAAGCCAGGAAUGAGAAGUACUCUGUGAAGGAUUAGCACACAUAGCCAUCUAAGAAUGUCGAUUGCCAAACUGAGGAUUCAUACAAUGAGGGCAAUCAUAGGCUUCAUGAUUAUACUGACGACAUAUUUGACAAGUUGAUAUUCUGCCACUGAAAUUAAAGCCCGAGCGACCUCCACAAUUGUUCCUCUGAGUAUAGCGAGAGUAAUUUGGACGCUGACUGUUACCACAAUAACCGGAGAAAUUGCCCUUAUUUUGAGAAUUCCUAGGGUUAGACAAAAUGCGAGCUUGAGAACAACCUUGAUACUGAUUAAACUAAGAUGAAUUCUGAGCAAGAAAGGCCUGAGAGCCAGUAUUGGAAGUCGGUGUAGGAAGAAUGCCAGAGGAUAAUGCAAGAUUCGAAUUGAGGCCUGAAAAACGCCAGAGGAUGUAGUAGCUUUCUUGCGAGUGGUAAGCUGAAUUUCUUUACUUAGAAGUAAGCCAUGUAACUCAUCAAGUGUUGUAGAGCCAAGACGGAAUUGGAUCGCAUCAACAAAGGAAUCAUACUCCGGCGGCAGGCUAUGAAGAGUUAUAGAAAUCAGAUCAGAGUCUUCAGUCGGAGCUUCGGCGCUGGCAAGAGCAUCAGCAAUGUCUUCAAUUUGUUGAAGAUAAGCAAAGGCGGUGGAAUCACCUUUUGAAAUAUUAUGAAGACGAGAUCGGAGUUCAUGAAUAUGUGAUUGAGAAGCUGCUGCAAGGCACGAUUCAAGCUUAGACCAUAGCUCUCGAGAGGAAUUUACACCCAUAGUAUAGGGAAUUAGGGAUUCAGAAAGUGUAGAGUUGAUCCAUAUGAGAAUAUUUUGAUCAUUCGCAUACCAAGAAACAUAGUCAGGGUUGAAAUUGCGAUUACCGGAAGAAUCAAGAAGAAAUUGAGGCGGUGCCGCCAUAGAUCCAUCAAUGAGACCGGUAAGAUUGUAGCGACGGAAGAUUGGGGCAAAGAGAGCACUCCAGGUCAAGUAAUUUGUAGUGGUGAGCUUGAUUGGCACCAUAGAUCCGAUGUUUUGGAUCAUAAUGGAGGUAGAAGAGAAGAAUUAGGGUUUGAGGAAGAAGUCGGAAUGGGAUGAACAUGUGUAGCCGAUUCCGACGAAGGAUACGCCAUGGCUGAAUUGAUGAGAGAAACUUGAAGAGAUCAAACGCGAUCGAGAAAUCGAUCAGAGAAUCAGAGAAUCAGAAAAGAGAAAAAUUGUAGGGAGAAGCGAGAAGGAUUGGAUCGAAGAGGGAGAAGUCAAAAGACAAAGGCAGGUGAUACCAUAUUAGAAAAGUAUUCUCAUUGAAUGAAUAAUUAUAGUACAUUUGGUAUUUAUACAGAGAGCUAUAUUUGAUAGCUCAUCAAAACUAACCUAUAACUAUCCAAUACCAAACUAACUGUCCAAUGACUAAUUACAACAUAAAUCACUAACUAUCCAAUGACUAAUUACAACAAAAUCAAGAUAAACAACUAUCCUUAAUACCCUAGCCAUUCAUGGAGAUCAUGGUGGCCUUGUCAUAUAUGGGGAGGACCAAAAUACCCCUUUCUGGUCCGCUAAUGUCACCGUCUCUUCUCCAAACAAAUUCGUGGUAGCCAAGCUUUUGGAUACGGGCUGGACAGGCAGUCCGGGCUAAACCGGUUCCCCACAUCUUGGAAGUCCCAAAAUGACCCGGGAACGGGCAACUGUUAGUACCGGAUAGAGUCAAGUGAGAGUCCACAGCAGUUCUUAUGCAAGGGUCAGACUCCAUUAUGGGGGGCAGUGGCGAAGCUACGUGAGGACGAGGAGUGGCAGCCGCCCCUCCCCUCGCCGGAAAUCAAGCACAGGAGCGGCGAUUCCGCCCCUCCGAUCUCGUCGGAAGUGAUGAAAUUCCGUUUGGUUUUCUGGCCUUUUGGGUUUCCCUGUUCUAUCACAGCACAGGCUGAUCACGGGCUCUCUUUUUUUUUCCAAAAAAAAAAACCUAGGCCAAAGAAAUGAGGAAUGAAGAUCUGCAUUUAGCAGCUUCUGGAUAUUGGAAAUGUUCUGGUUUGGUUCUAACGAAGAAGAGGAGAAAGGAAGAAGAGAGAGACUCUCUCUCUCCCAUCCCACCCCACGUGACCUUUACAAUUUGUUUUUUUUUUAAAUAUUGGCCAACCAAUAUGCGCCACCUAACCUGCUUUUGUUGAUUUAUAUUGGAAUUUAUUUUAUUUUUUAAUUAUUGUCCAAUUAAUUUGACCAAUCUUUCAAUAUUUAUUAAACCACUUGUUUGACACUGUUAUUUAUCUUAAAAUUCACUAUAAUUUAUACGAGCUUCAAAAAAUAAUUUGUAAAAUAUUAAAAACUUGUAAUUAUGUUUUUUCUUCUCUUACCAUCAAAUUCAACAAAGUAAUGAAGAAAAUUUGUCAAUAUUUUUAUAUAUUAUAUGUUUUAUAAUCAAUGUUUUUUGGAUAUUACAAACUAUAUAAUAAAUAGACAAUUAUUUAUACGGUGUAUAAUAAAUUUAUUCAAAUUUGCCUAGGUCCUUGCCGAAGUGUAAAGUCAUGUCCAUCGUCUGACUAGAGCUUAACAUCUUUUAAAACUUUGCUAAUUAUACAGUUAAGUAAUAGGACGAUACAACGAGAAACGGUGCUAAAUCAUCCUUCAAAUAAUAUUGUUUUUCAAACCCUCCUUCGACUAUUUUGAGUAGUCCAAAUCCUCUUUUGAAUAUUUCGGUUAGUGCAAAUUCUCCUAUGAAUAUUACGGGUGGUUCAAAUAAUCUUCUUGCAAAUGCAAGACUUACACCUCGAAUGAAUGUUCACAUUUUUCGGGACCCUAAAUUUUUUAAAUUUCGCCCCUCCCCCCAAGAAUUCCUGGCUUCGCCACUGGUGGGGGGCUGGAUCUUGGACCAGUGAAAGAUGGUCCAGGGUGCCUGCAAUGACGAAAAUUUUCAUCUUCAACGCUACUUUUGUGAACAAUCAAGAUGAGGUAUCCGUCAUGUAUGGUAUUGUUGAUGAAUCAAUCUUCUCAAAAUUGGUGAUCGAUGAAUCAGGAAUCCUUGAACGGACCAAAUGGCAAGAUCAAGCGCAUCAAUGGGUCAAGUUUUGGUCCGCCCCGGUUAAGCAAUGUGAUUUUUACUGGAAGUGUGAUUUUUACAUUGCGGAUAAAUUUGAGUGCAAUUGCCUACCUGGAUUCGAACCCAAGUUGCAACAUGAGUGGUAUUUGAGAGAUGGGUCAGGCAGGUGAGUGAGGCAAAAAGGAUCAUCCGUUUGCCAAAACGGGGAAGGGUUUGUGAAGUUGGAACGUGUGAAGGUGCCGAACGCUUCUAUGACACGGGAGAGCAUGAGUAUGAGUCUGAAAGCAUGUGAAGAAGAAUGCCUGAGAAAUUGUUCUUGCAUGGCAUACGCAAUUGCAGAUGAAGGGCAGGGAGGGAGUGGGUGUAUAACAUGGCAUGGGGACUCGAUGGACACAAGGACUUAUUCGGAUACGGGUCUAGAUUUAUAUGUGCAAGUUGAUGCAAUUGUUUUAGGUAUAUUUUCAUUAUCAAUUUAUCUUCUUUCUUUCUUUACAUUAUCAAUAAUUUUCCUCGUACCGUCGACGUUCCAUGAAAAAAAAACUCUUCUUUCUUUUAUUUCAUAAAAUAUUUGAGGAAUUAUUAUUUAGUUUGGGAGCCGUACGUUUGUUAACGUUCUAAAGAAAUCAUUUGGCACGGGUCUCUUGACAAAUAAUAAAAGUGAAAUUGUUUCAUUAAGAGUGUAAGAUGAUUUUUUUGGAGUACUCAUAAAUUUUGGAAAUUAAUAUAAGUUCUCACGCUAAAAAUUGAGUUUCAUACAUCUGUUAAAAUUGUUAUUAAAUCAACCGUUAACUGGUGACGUGAUGCUUACGUGGAUAAUAAUUAAGCGCCACGUGUCAAUGGGCCCACGUGGACAUUAAAAAUAAAAAAAAUUCAAGGCUUCUCCUACCUCACCCCCUCCGUCUCUUCUCCCUUCUCCCACCUCUGCACCGACCCUUCCGCACACCAACCUUCAAUUCCUCUUCAAUUCUACGCUCUCCCUCUCUCUGUGACAAAAAAAGAAAAUUUUAACUCUUUUUUUUUCUGGGCGUCUCCUACCUCACCCCGCGCGUCCCCCCCCCCCUCCCCCCGGCGCGCCUACUCCCGUGAACUCGCCUCCUCCUUCGGGAUCACGUUCUGAUAAAAAAAAUUUAAGGAACCUAGCCCUCGGAAACCCUCCUUCAGCAAAUUCGAAGAACCAAAUCCCCGAGGGACCUGAUUUCGACCAACAACCGAAAGUGGGUGUGCCCAGGAGCGACGACUGAGGGGAUUUGCUAAGGUGGUUGUGCCCAGGAGCAACGACAGUGAAUCGGCGGCAGGAAGGUUGAAUUGAAAGGUGGGAGUUGUCUUAAUAGCGCCAUAUCACCAGUUUGUAAGAAACCUAAUUGGACUAAAUUAAAUUGUAUAAGAAAGAAAUGCAUUUGCCAAUUGUACAAACUGGUGGGAGUUGUAAACGUGCAAAACUGCUUACUAUAAUCAAGGAAUAUGUGGUGAUUCUGAUCAGGAAACAACUUGCAAUCUGAAACUGCAAAUAACUGUAAAGAACCAACGGUCCACGAUAGAUGGAAGUUGGCAAAGGUUAUACUUAUAAAAGGACUCCCUGCUCACAAAGAAAACGUUCUGUAAUUAGGGUUCUAUCACCAUUGGAACAUAAGGUCUUGAGUGAGUAGAAGAAUUCUUGAGUGUGUUAACAGUAACCAUGGCUGCACUAGGUAAGUCUUUCUUAUCUAAUUUCAAAUUGUGACCUAGUAUGCAUGCUAAUAACUAAGGUUUUUCCAACAUUUGGUAUCAAAGCUAUGUUAGCAAGCCCCUAGGUCGGAUGAAUUAAUAAAAAAUCCUAAUGCUUUAAGAAUGUACAAAAUUUGUAUGGUGAUUGCUGCAGUUUAUUUUUAUCGUGGGCACUAUAAUUCUUCCACUAAUAUGUAUUUCUCUUCUCUGUGUUUGUGUUGGUUGGUGGAGUUGGGUUUUUUGGAUCUUUUGAAUUGGAGCUUCAAAUUCCAUCGUGCAUGUGUGGUUCAAGCAUGUUGCCCAAUCUGAAAUUCUCACUCUCUCAAUCGGCUGGAUGGUGUCUUGGUUUUGUUGAUGCUUGGUUGAAGGAACAGAUAAUCAUGCUAUUUUAACCAUUGGACAAAUGUUUAUUAAAUCUUCACCAAAGUGGGAUUUUAUGGAAAUUUUGGUCUGGGACAGGAAGCAUGGAGUGAUUCAAUUUCCAAGGCUUUAACUCUUGUUGACGACGAAACCAAGCAAAGAUCGCAGGGCCUCAAGAAGAUCUUACUGGCCUCGGUCUUGGCCAUGGUGGCGGAGACGACGUUUCCGGUAGACAUUACGAAGACUUCCAUUUUGCUGCGAUAAUGACUGCUCCAAUGAUCAUGGAUUCAAUUGGGGGAAAUGCCGAAAAUGGCAAACUCCUUUCUCGAGGAGGUGCUGGACCAUGUGUUCUCAUUCAUAUAGACGAACCAGGACCGGAACUUGAUUUCGGUAGUGUGUGCAAGUUGUGGUACGAGAUCAAACUAUGGUGCUGGCGGCGUGCAAAACUGCUUCCUAUAAUCAAGGAAUAUGUGGUGAUUGUGAUCAGGAAACAACUUGCAAUCUGAAACUGCAAAUAACUGUAAAGAACCAACACUCCACGACAGAUGGAAGUUGGCAAAGGUUAUACUUAUAAAAGGACUCUGCUCACAAAGAAAACAUUCUGUAAUUAGGGUUCUAUCACCAUUGGAACAUAAGGUCUUGAGUGAGUAGAAGAAUUCUUGAGUGUGUUAACAGUAACCAUGGCUGCACUAGGUAAGUCUUUCUUAUCUAAUUUCACAUCGUGACCUAGUAUGCAUGCUAAUAACUAAGGUUUUUCCUACACAGUUAACUGCUGAUUUAACAGCAAUAUUAACAUAUGUAUGAAACUGUCCCAAACUUAUGACUUCAGGUACCAUUCUGGGAUGAAAAAAACUUCAUGUACCAAAUGUUGAAAAUCAAGAAACUUCAGAGUAGUAAAUUGAGAUUAACCUUUGUUAAAAAUUAUAAUCCUCUUAUCUGUACGGUGAUUUAUACAAAACACUGUACAAAUGGUGAUUUUUACAUAAAACUAUAUUAUAGUGAUUUCUACAUAAAAUUAUAUCAAAAAUAUUUGAGAUGGUAGUCAAAUCUUAUGCAUAAAACUCUCUUAUGAUAGUGCAAAAGUUUUUACUGAUUAGAAAUAGUUCAAAAUUGUUUGAGUGCGGUAUUGGACUUGAAUUUUUUAAACUGACUCUAGCUCAUAUCUCAUAAGAAUCAAGCCAAGCCUACUUGCGAGCUCGAAAAAAUUAAUCAAGCCAAAUUUAAACACAAUAGUAUUCGGUUCGGCUUGACUAGUUUCCAAUCCUACAUUUAUUUAUUUAUUUGUUGAUAUUUGCUCUUUACUUCUUUUCUAUAAAAUUGUUUCUUGCAAAAGAAAAGCGUAUAAUGUUGACCCAGCAAUAGAAUUAUAAUGGUCUAGCAUAACUCUUGUAUAUUAUUAUAUGGUUUUUCAAACUAAAUAAGGGCUUUGUUAUGUGCUUUUUGUAGAAGCAUUUUAAGUGUUUUUUUUAAUAUUUACUUGCAUUUUUACAGAUCAUUGAUACCAAAGCACUCUUAUUAAAAGAACUUUCAAUUAUUUAAACACUUUUAAAUGAACCCUAAAAUACAGAAAAAAAUAAAAACAAAACAGCGUAAUAGGAUGAGCUUUUCGGUUAACAUGUACAUAAUUUAGUCUAUCCACUUUGGCAUUCUAAUGGCGGCACUAACAUAAUUUAGUCUAUCCACUUUGGUAACGUAAAGAAGUGGUAAACCACGAAUUUAAACUUUGGCAGAAGAAAGCAAAAGAGUUGAAUAAAUUAUUACUGGAUGGUUCAAUGAACCCAAAAAUAUCAGAUUUUGGCAUAGUAAGAAUGUUUGGGGAUGACCAAAUUGAAGCAAACACGAACAAAGUUGUUGGCACCUAGUAAUUGUCUCCUCUCCCUAUAAAAAAAAUAAAAUUAAGUAGAACCGAUAUAUAUAUAUAUAUACAUUUUUUUUGAUAUUGUGUGAUUGCAGCGGUUACAUGUCACCAUAGUAUGCUAUGGAUGGGUUAUAUUCCACAAAAUCCGAUGUGUUUAGCUUUGGAUGCUUGGCACUAGAGAUCAUUAGUGGAAGGAAGAACAGCUUCCAAUUCGAAAAGUCAUCUUUGAAUUUGGUUGGAAUAGUAAGUAAACAAAUAAUUUUUCAGACGAUGAAUCUAACUUUCGAGUAGUCCAAUGAUCUAAACAUUGUGCUCAAAAUUGUUUCAAAUAUGGGAUUUGUGGACAGAAGGAAAAGUUUUGGACAUAAUUGAUUCAUCACUGAAGCAGUCAUAUUCGACUCAUGAAGUUAUGAAAUACAUUCAGAUUGGGCUUUUGUGCGUGCAAGAGUACCUAACAGACCGGCCAACCAUGCUAGAUGUUGUGUUCAUGUUGGGGAAUGAAACGAUUCUUCCACAUCCGAAAAAGGCAACGUUUAGCUUGAAAAACAGUGGUCUGGAUUCUUCAAUUUGUAAAGGUUCUUCUUUUGUAAAUGAUGUAACAAUAAUAGUUAUUGAAGCUCGUUGAGUUCGCACUUUGCGGGCUCUUGUAGAGAUUUUGCAUUACUUCUCAAGUUUUUUUACUCAAAUCGAGAUUCCUUGUGGAGAGAAGAGGCAAUGCCUUUGAAAUUGUUGAUUCAUCUCUGGGCAAAUCGUACCCUGUCAACGAAGUUGUGAGAUGCAUCUAAAUUGCCCUGUUAUGGACUGUAAGUAGGAUUAGAGUUUAGUUAUAAGCUAUAACUUGGGUUCCAUGUAAAGAUAAUAUUCUAGUUAUUCUUGGAGAAUAAGAGCUCCUGAUAUUAUCCUAUUUUGAUUUAGAUUUGGUAGAUUAUUUCCUCGUACAAUAACGAGUCCUACUGACAUCAUUAUGGGAGGAUGAAUUAGGUUUUUUUUUUAACAAACGAUAUUAUCUACACUAAGGGGGUGGCAGAGUGGGCUAUGCCUCAUAAUAGGGUUCAAAUUUGCCUUUGGCGAGAAUCGAAUCUAAACCUCUCACUUACCAGUGAAGAAGAAUAUCAUUAGACUGUAGUACUAAGUGGCGGGAGGAUGCAUUAGGAUUGAGUUAGUAUAAAUACUAAACAUAAGUCCCUGCACAUACCACUAAAUAACAACCCAAAAGAAUUCCCCAGAGGUUUGAGUUAUACAAUGGUGGUGAGUGUGUAGGCGGCCUUGCUUGUGUUCUUAGUGUGCUCGUGUGCUUGCUGCAAUUCGUGGCUUGUUGUGCUAUUGAGAAUGGCUUCUCAAGGUUAGUGUUUUCAUGGCGUUUUGAUUCACAUGAACAUAUUAGGUUUAACAGAGUAUGCCACUGAGCUGCCAACAAUGUCGGUGGUUGUUUUCAUGCUAGGUAAUGAAGCAGCAGCUCCAUCACCAAAACAACCAGCAUUUUUAUUGGAGUUAUAUAUAACAAUGGAGACCCAUCACCACAAUACUGAAGGAUAAAAUUUUGUAAACGAUGUGAGAUGUAGUAGCGUAGAACCUCGCUAAAACUCUUAAGAUAUUCCGAAAUGCUGUAUGUUAAGCAACUAUUGGUAGCUUGUAAAAGGUUAUUAACCACAAAAAUUUUGCCUCAAAUAAGUAGGUUCCAAUUUUCUUUCUAGUGCAUUGACAUGCAGGGCAUGUCAAAAUUAUUGGUCUCGAUUACAACGUAAUUGAAGAGAAAUUAUACUAGUCUAGUUAGCUAAUUCUGUAAAUUAUGUGACAUAUAUUAUGGUGGGGCCUUAGCUAACAGAAAACUUGGCGAGAAAUCGAGCACAAUGACAUUAUAGAAUUCAUACAACUGACUUUACUUAAUAAGAUAAGACUUUAUUGUUGUUGUUGUUUGUACUAUGGUGGAUGCUUGAUUGCUAACAGCCUUGGAUUUGAAAUGUAAAUCCGUCCACUACAUAUGACACAUUCACAUUUAUUAGAGUUUAAGAAUGAGAGAUUUGUGUUAGUCAAACUUCAUGUACAGGAGAGAAGAUGUUGAUCUGUGAUGCUUUGCUUGCCAAAUAAAUAAAAGGAAAAUUAAUGAAAAUGACUUGAAAACUUUGAAUUUUAACAAAAAUGACAAAAAGAUGUUGUAAGUGAAUAGUACGAGGAGUGACUUUUUAGAGUAAAUUCGUUAAAGUAAACAGUACCAAAAGUAUUUCGUUAAAACUCCCGUAAAUAAAUUCCAAGACUUUUCAAAUUGGUUGACCUUUAUUUCAUUUUAUAACAGAUCGCUUUUACCAUAAUGUCCAUACUAAUCACACCUAGCAUUUUACUAUCUACUAGCACAUUACGGGGUGUUGAAUUUUAUGACAAAAAUGAAAGUUAAAAUCAUUUAUUAUAUAUUGUAAUUUAUUUAUCAAUUUUUCGACAUAUAUUUUUGCAUUCUUCAACAGCGUGAACAUCUCUCUCCCUGGCCACUACGGGUCGUACUUGGCCCCAUUCGGAGCCAAUUUGUCUUAUCAAUCUACUGAAUACAACUGGUGUGGUCAGAAUUGAUGAAGUGGAACUUUCUAGCUAGGAUCAGUUUGAGGGAAUUGUUAUGUCUCGUCCACAUGUUUGCCUGGAAGUUGCGUGUAAGUUCAUGUUGCAUCAACGACUGGAAAUCGAGGGUGCGUUCACCGUUGCAUCAACGACUGGAAGUCGCCCGUAUGCCCUUAGAGUUACUGAAACUCAAUCCAAGAAAACAAAAUCCAACCUUUCCGGCUUUUUGUUUCUGCAUGUCAAAAGAAGCAGCCAUUUUAGCACUUAAACUCCUCCAUGAGAAAGCUAACAAUGAAUUCUACUGAAUACUUUUUUGUCAGUACUGUAUUGCUCCUCUUCCUUGUGAUUCUUCCCUCUUCCAUUUCGGUUACCCUAGACGCCAUUACACCAAACCAACCCCUAAGAGAGGACGACGUUCUUCUCUCCACCACUAAAUUCUUUGCACUAGGGUUUUUUAAGCCAGGCAAUUCUCGUAACCGUUACAUCGGAGUUUGGUACAACAAAAUUCCAAUCCAAACCAUUGUUUGGAUUGCAAACAGAGAAAACCCCAUAGUUCCUACUGCUGGAACUGGACUUCUAGCCAUUCAUGCAGAUCACGGUGGCCUUGUUUUGUAUGGGGAGGACCAAAAUACCCCUAUCUGGUCCACUAAUCUCACCGUCUUCUCCAAACAAUUCCGUGAUAGCCAAGCUUUUGGAUACGGGAAAUCUUGUUGUAGUUGAAAUUAAUGGCGGUAGUAGUGAAAAGGUGUUGUGGCAAGGUUUUGAUUAUCCCACAAAUACGAUGCUUCCUGUUAUGAAACUUGGGCUGGACAGGCGAUCCGGGUUCAACUGGUUCCUCACAUCUUGGAAAUCCCAGGAUGACCCGGGAAUGGGCAACUGUUCGUACCGGAUAGAGCCAAGUGAGAGUCCACAGGGGUUCUUAUACAUGGGUCAGACUCCAUUGUGGCGGACUGGACCUUGGAUCGGUGAAAGAUGGUCCGGGGUGCCUCAAAUGCAAAAUAAGAUCUUCUUCAACGUUACUUUUAAGAACAAUCAAGAUGAGGUAUCCAUCAUGUAUAGUGUUGUUUAUGAAUCAAUCUUCGUAAAGAUGGUGAUCGAUGAAUCAGGAAACAUUGAACGGUCCGCAUGGCAAGAUAAUAAAUGGGUCCAGUAUUGGUCCGCGCCGGAUGGGCAGUGUGAUUUUUACGGGAAGUGUGGUCCGAAUAGCAUUUGUGACCCAUACCCAAAAUUUGCCGAUAAAUUUGAGUGCAAAUGCCUACCUGGAUUCGAACCCAAGUUGCGACAUGAGUGGUAUUUGAGAGAUUGGUCAGGCGGGUGCGUGAGGCAAAAAGGAUCAUCCGUUUGCCAAAACGGGGAAGGGUUCGUGAAGUUGGAACGUGUGAAGGUGCCGGACACUUCUACGGCACGUGUGAACAUGAGUAGGAGUCGGGAAGCAUGUAAAGAAGAAUGCCUGAGAAAUUGUUCUUGCACGGCAUACGCAAAUGCAGAUGAAAGGCAGGGAGGGAGUGGCUGUAUAACAUGGCAUGGGGACUUGAUGGACACAAGGACUUAUUUGGAUACGGGUCAAGAUUUAUAUGUGCGAGUUCAUGCAAAUGUUUCAGGUAUAUUUCCAUUAUCAAUUUAUCUUCUCUCCUCUCUUUUCCUUAUCAAUAAUUCCCCUCAUAACGCCAAGGUUCCAUAUAAAAAAGAAAAAAAAUCUUCUUUCUUUAUUUCAUUAAAAAAUUUGAGGAAUUAUUAUUUAGUUUGGUAAUUGUACGUUUGUUAUCAUUUAAAAAAAAAAAUCAUUUGGCACUGAUCUCUUGCCAAAUAAUAAAAGUGAAAUUGUUUCAUCAAGAGUGUAAGAUGACUUUUUUAGAGUACUAAUUUUUUUUAUAAAAAAAUUCAGAAAUUUCUAUAAAUUAAUACUAAAAAUUUAGUUCUUAUGGUCAUUGGAGCUUUUUACAAGGUUUUUUUUCCCAAAUUUUUUCAAGGUUUUUAAACAUGGAAAUAAAUGCUUGUAUAUUUGCAGCUCAAAAUGCAAAGAAGUCAAACAGUUCUUUUGGCAAGAAGAGGAAGCUGGAAGUUUCAGUAGCAUGUGGUCUAUUGUUCUUCCUCUUGUUUUCCCUUGCAUGUUGGUUGGUAAAGAGGAAGAGAAAAGGUAAACAAAUUUCCUUUUACUAGGUUGCCCUCUAAUCAUUCACAAUUAUGAAUUAUAUAAGAACACAACAUUAUCUGUUUAUGUACUUUUAUCACAGGUCAGAGAAGUCAGGAUAAAUUUUUCAAUGUGACCGUAGCAUCAACCGCCUGGGAAGAUUCUUCUGCUAGAACAAAUAUUGAUGAAAGUGGAAUAAACUCUGAAUUACCAUUCUUUGAACUAAGUACCAUAGUUAAGGCCACAAAUAAUUUCGCUUCCAACAACAAGCUUGGAACAGGUGGUUUUGGCUCCGUUUAUAAGGUACGUUGUUGCCCUCAGAUAAUGUCUCAAAUCAUAAAUCAAACUUUGAAUAGACAUUUCUUAGAUUUAUUUUUUAGCCAUCUGCACUCCAAAUCAAUUAUUUUUACCUCUACUCACCCUUGUAGUUUAAACAGAAGAACAUAAUGAAGAAAUCUUGCAGAGAAAGAAAGAGAAUCAAGAAGAGAGAGGGAGCAAGAUUUAGGGAGAGAGAGAGAGAUCUUAGACAGAAAAAGUGAAUCUUUGUUAAUGAUUUCAGAAAAAAUACAAGGUAGUGAUCCAUAAGGAUAUAUAUCCAAACUAUAUUGCUUACAAGCUAAGCUAACAUUUAGCUCACAGGCUAUUGACACUUGCAAACAAUAGGAUUACAAGACCAUUACAGUUUAACAAAAAUCAAGAGACCCGUCCAAUAAAGACUGGAAAGGCUGACUCAAAAAUAUAUUUCAUUAAAAUUCAAACCCAAUCAAUAAUCGAUAAGUGAUGGGAACUAUCUUGUUUCGACUUUUCACAAUUAUCCCACACAGUGAUGUGGAUUUUGAAACUGUAUAAAACACGUAGAAAGUUUUAAAUCUAUAUAUGAUAAGCCAUACUACUUAUAUAUAUAUGUGUGUGUGUGUGUGUGUGUGUGGAAAUCUAUUCACAAACCUAUUGUUAAGCCAUACUACUUAUAUACAAGUGAUGGUUGCAUGGUAUUAAUCUUCUACACAGAAAAAGCAAGUGUUUCCCACCCUAGGAAAUUGUUAAGCACCUAUCAAACUAAUUGAUUGGAAACAGUAUGGUGCUUCCCAAUCUAAAAAGUCAAUGACACUAAAGCAGCAGAUUAGCGAAUAGAUUAGUGAAUAGUUAAUUAUGAUUUGUUUUGGGUCCAAAGAAACCUUGUUAGGUGAUGGUGAAUCAAUAUGAAAGUAAACAAUGCCGAUUUCAAAAUGGAAACUGAAGAGCUAUUCGUUGAAUGAAGUAACAAUUAAAUCUGUUAAAUUACAGCAGGAGAAGUCUAAUAUAUACAGAAAGCCGCAUAAGUAAACAUAUACCAACCAAAAAGUGGGCUAAUCCAACCAAUCUCACCAAUGGACAUUGUCACCCGAGCAAUUGUCGGACUACAUCUUAGACGAAACAAAAAAAUGCUGAGGAAAAUGAUCAUUACCCAAAAUUCCAUUCUGAACAAAUAUUUGGACCAAUAACGAAGAAUUCUAGAAAAACAUGAAAAACUUAAUAAAACCCAAUUUAAACGAAGAACUCCAUCUGAAGCAGAUUUUCACAUGCAAUAGUUGUAGAAGAUGCCUAAGAUGAUAAGGAGUCAUUUGAGACCAUCAACUCAACCCCAUUCGAACGCAAUCACAAAAUCAAAAAGGACAAAAUGGGCAAACAAAAACAAUGAGAAAGCACCUACCUUGAGCUUGAAAGAGAGAGGAAGAAGAACGACGGUGCCCUUCUUCAGCAGAAUUUUGCCGAUAUUGUUUCCGGCCGUUGCCGCCAGCGCUAGGAAGAUCGACUCUCACAUCCCAAGAACCCUAAUUAUAAACUCCCAAUCAAACGCAAAAAGGAUAGAGGAAGCCCAAAUAAAGGGAAAUUCGAGAAAUUCAACAUACCGUAAGACGCUUUCUGACAUCAAGAGAUACGGGAAUCGGAGAGAAAAGAAGAGCAGAGGAAGAUGAAACAUUGUGGGUUUUCCAGUAGAGAAGGAGCGAGAGGAGGGAUGAGAGAUGACAGGAGAGCGCACGCGUAGGAGAGAAAGAGGAAUAGAGGUGAGAGGAGAGCGCGUCUAAACCGAUUCCCAACCGUACCAAACCCUCUGGAGAAAAUUGUGGGCAUUUUGGUCAACAAACAAAUAGUGGCAGAGUUGUAAAUACAACAAAAUAGUGCAAUUGAAAACCUUACUUUAGAUUAAAGUAAUAAUUCAAAAUACUGCAAUCUUUUGUUAUUUCAAUCGCAUUUCUCCUUCACUUGAAGUAGUCAAAGCAUUUUUAUGCAUAUGCAUUGAGUUUUACUCCUUUGUUAAUGUAUAAAUGCAAUUUCAAGGGGAGGAUAUAUAUAUAUAGAGCUACGAUUAUGUUGAUAAUUUUCCUGAAAGGUAAGUGCACUAUAAGUUGAAUUUGGAUUAUAAAUUCAGGGUGUGCUUGAUAAUGGAAAGGACAUAGCAGUGAAAAGACUAGCCAAGAAUUCUGGCCAAGGAAUUGGAGAGUUUAAGAAUGAAGUUGUGCUGCUUUCAAAGCUCCAACACAGGAACCUUGUAAGGAUCAUGGGUUGCUGCGUUCAAGAUGAAGAGAAGAUGCUGAUCUAUGAAUACUUGCCAAACAAAAGUCUUGACUUUUUCAUUUUCGGUAUGUCUUUCGUUCACUUUUGUUAUUCUUUUUAUACAAGCAAUAUUGUGGAGGGGAAAUCAAGCUCAGGACCUCAGGUGUAGGAUUGAAUGCUCUUAACUCAACUUAGUUACAACUGCCUUUCUUUUAACUUGUGUAUCUAAAAUUGUCGGUUAGAAACCUUGAACCAAGCAAGAAUACAAUCUAAUUUACUUUGAUUAUUUUUUUUCCCAUACAAAGCAA